AGAAAACAGGUAUCACAUCCCUUCCAAAUCUCUUCUUGCAUUCAAGUAUCUUACUGAGUUCAUUCAAGCACCAAGUGGAAGAUGCAUAGUUUUGGGAGAAAACGAUGACAUAAAUCUUUGAUUCUUCUAUUGCAGAGAGCAGUGCAGGUGAAAUUUCUUCGCCCCUGAGUAGUCUAUAAUCAAUAUAUGCUUCAAUGUUCUUCCUUUGCAGUGCUGCAUAAAGGUGGCUAAUGAAGUUGUCACGUGUGUCUUCGCCUCUGAAGCUGAGAAACACAUCAUGCCUUGUUAGAGAAGUAGACACGGCCAAUGAUGAAGGACUUUCUGACAUUGGAGUCAAUUUUCUCUCCUUUCUCUGCAAUUCUCAGGUCUCUUUCUUUGUACUGUUUCUACCACAAAUCUACUCUGCUGCUCUGGACUCAUUAUAAAACACAAGUCAACUUUUGAAAAAGUCUUUCAAUUUUCUUAACAUUCCUUUCACAGAUAUGUGUUCUGGUCAGACAUCGUAGUCAGCAGAAACUAAAGAAAAAGAAAAAUAUUAAUUUAAUAGAAUAGUCAACAAAUUGCAAAAUAAGUAUGGAAUCUAGAUUUAUAUCAUUAUCACGUGUGGAAACAUAGCUACGUCUUCUUAGAUAAAAUCCUUAUUUAAGUUUUAAUUGGGCCUUGUAGUGGGCUUUGUAAUCUGCUUUUCUUUUCUCCUAUAUUGCUUUAUAUAUACACCUCCACUUUUGCUUUCUACAUUUCAUUUUACAAAAUACAUUCUCUCAUUCUGUGUCAUUUAUCUUGCCUGAUUCCGUCCUCUCUUUAUCUUUUUCUCUCAUCCUCUUGCUUAUAAUUCUUUUGUUUUUAUUAAGAAAUACACUAUAAUUCUAAUUUAAUCAUAUACUAUAAUUAUGCUAAUCAUCAAUUAGUACUAUAUAUUAUUAAUGAUCUGCGUAUAUAUUAUUUAUGAUUUGCGGAUAAGACAAUAGAUUCAAUAAAUUCUAGAUAAAAUAAAUUUUAAAUGAAUAUGAUAAAAAUAUAUUAAAAAAUGAACUUUAUUGAAUCGAUUGAGUAUCUCUAUUUUAAAGACUUGUAAGAAUAAUAGGAAUAACAAUAUAUUAAUAUUAAUAUGUUUCUUAAUAAAUUUCAUACCCACUAUCUAUUUAUAAAUUAAUAUAUUAUAAAUAUCUAAUGAUGUCUUAUUUCUCUAACAUUUAAAAUUAAAUUUGUAGAUUCUACAAAACAUUACAUUUUGAUUUUAAUAUUUAUAAAAUAUUUUUUAUUCUCAUAUUUAAAAAACAAAACUUAGUUUGAGUGUAUUCCUUAGUUACUUACUACUCAUCACCAGCCGCCAACAGCGUGAUGGCUUCACUCUCCGUUCGCGCCACAACCACCUCUUAUCGGGCCUCCUUCCGGCCCAAGCCCACCUCGGGGCCCACCAGGGUCCGAAUGUCCCUCCGCGAUGACGGCCCCGCCAUCGCCGUCGUCGGCGUCACCGGCGCCGUUGGCGAGGAGUUCCUCUCCGACCGCGACUUCCCCUACCGUUCCAUCAAAAUGCUGGCCUCGCAGCUCUCCGCCGGCCGCCGCAUCAUCUUCGAGGACAGGGACUACGUCGUGGAGGAGCUCACAGCGGAUAGCUUCGACGGCGUCGACAUUGCGCUCUUUAGCGCCGGCGGUGGUAGACUAUAGCUCCGCAUUUGGGAUGGACGAGAAGGUGACGCUGGUUAUUCCCGAAGUGAAGCCCCAAACGAUGCAACACAUCAAAGUUGGAACGGGAAAAGGCGCUCUGAUUGCGAACCCUAAUUGCUCCACCAUUAUUUGCUUGAUGGACAUACUAAUUAAUAUCAAUUAUAACAAAUAAUGAACGUUUCUGGUCAUUUCUUGUACUUCGCGUUAUUUCAUAACAGUAGUUUUUUUAAAUAAAUUAAGAAAAAUAUUCAUUUUUAAAUUUAAUGCACUUUUAAAUAAUUUGACUAUUAUAAACAUAAUCACUUAUAAAAAUAAUUUUAGAGUAGUUGAUAUAAUUAAAAUAAAAUAUUUUAUUAUUAAAGUAAAAAUUAUAUAUAAAUAAAAAAUAGGUUUUAUUUUAAAAUAAUAUUCAAUUUUAUAAAAGUUUUUUCUUUUUGUCUUUUUUUUUUUAUAUUUCUAACCAUAUUUUUUCGUGAGGUUGAUAAUAGAAUCUCACUUUGGAUUUAUGGGAAUGAAUAAUGAAUUAGUUUUUAGUUUUCUAUUUAUCUAUAUAUAAAGGUGAUACGGUGACAAAUUCCAAAAUUUUAUUAUAAUGUUUGCUUUGUUGAUUGAAAUAGAUGUUAAUUGAUGAAAAAGAUUGAAAGUUUUAAACCCAAUACACCCCUCACGUCGAGGUUAGGUGGACUGAUAAGUUCAGCAAAAUCUCGUUAUGAUAGUUUUUAGAUGACUCUGAUACCACAAUAAAAAAUAAACUUUAAAUUUAACUCAACCUUACAAAACUAAUUUAUAAAGUGAGCUAUGUAUCCCUAGUCGAUGUAGAAUCUCUAACAAUGAUUUAAAUGAAUUGUUAUAUGCUUUAUGAAGUUUAACCUUUAUUUUUACUUGACAAAUUGGAUUUUAAUGAGGUAUAUAUGCUCUCAGCAUCAAAUCCGCUUAACGAAAUUUAUAUGUGUCAAGCGAAUUUGGACAUGUAGAGUUUGAUGUGCUCUUGGCCUCAAAUCCGCUCAAUGUUUUUUUUUCCUGUACUUAAGCAAACUUACAUCCAGAUUUUGGAGUACUUUCGAACUCAAAUUUGCUCAAAGAAAUUUUCUUAUGGUAAGCAAAUUUAAGCGGCUAUUGUUUGGAUGUUCUCUGCCUCAAAUUCGUUCAGUGAAAUUUUCCUGUGCUAAGGAGAUUUCUCUGGGCUUAAGCCCCAACUUCAUGGGCUCGACCCAUUUUGACGACAUUUGUCAUCUUUGCUUAGAUAUCUUUUGGUUUGUUUUCUAUAGGUCAUGAAAUUGAAUUAAAUCUUUUGAAAUUUAUCAUUUUGUAAAUUGUAAGUGAUUACAACUUUCUAAUGUUCAUGCAACAUGUGUUUAAAAUAAGUAAAUCUAACAAAUAAAUACUCGUUACAUAUUCAAUGGAAAGCUUUUUCUUUUAAUUCUUUGGUGUUUUAUUUUGAUGAUGUAUAUAUUUGAAAAUCAAUGUAUGAAUGGAUAAUGCUUUAUGAUAUAAUAAUAUUACAAUGUAAAUGUUAUUUAUAUACUAUCACAUGAUAAAUUAAAAUUUAAUAAGAUAGUUAAGGAUGUUAUAAUUAUUCUUUUAAUUUAUUUUAUUUCACUGUAUAUUUAGGUGUAUUACGUAGAAUGUAUAGUUAAAAAAAUAAUGUUAUUUUGAAAUUUAAAGAAUGACGUAUAGAAAUAAACAAGCUUUUGUUAAAAUUAUACUAUUUGAAAAGGAACACAGAACAAUAUUGACAAUUAUACUUUUACUUAUUACUUAUUUUAAUUUAUUAUAUUCAUGAGUAUUAUUUUUUUUAAACAUAGAUAUUGGAUAAAAAAUAUAAAUAACAUUUAUUUAUUUCAAAUUUAAAAAUCUUUAAAAUAAAAUUAAAUAAUAUUUUUAAUUAAGAUGUGUUUUUUAACAAUUUUUUUAAUUUAAAAAAUAAUUAAUUCGGAGGAUGAUUAAAGAAAUAUUAACAAAUUAUUUCUGCGUUUAUAAUAAACCUUCAAUAAUAUUUGUACUUUCUAGCAUAUAGAAUACUUAAUGGAUCCCUUUGUGAUUUUUCUUUUCUAAAGUGCAAUUGAUAUUUUAAAUGUUUUUCUAUUUAAUUUUCCUUUCUUAAUGACACAUUAAAGGGUUCAGUGCACGAUUAAUUAUUCUCACCUUAGAUUUCAUUCAUCUCAUUCCAUUUCCACACUCAAAUCAUUCUCACAUUUUUUUCUACCUAUUUCACAAAGUUUUAUGUAAAAUAUGGAAAUUAAACUAAAAGAACCCUACUUAUAUAUUAAUAUUCAACAACUUAAAAUAUUACUAUGCAAAUUAAUCUUUCUUAAUAAUGUUAUGUAAAAAUUAAAAUGUAGUUUAGUCAUUCAUACUUAGAUGGAUAAAGAUGGUUUUAGAAAAAAAAUGCAUUUUAUUUCAAAUCUAUUACUUAUAAAAUGAGUUAUAAAAUGAGGUUUGUGAUAUUUAUUCAAAAUUUAAAUUAUAUUAUGCAUUUAUGGUUUUAUGUUUUUAAAGAAAUCAGAAACUUAGAAAAGCUCCUAAAAACUACUGAAAUCCAUAAGAUGAUAAUUAAUAAACAUCCUCUCUUAAUAACAUAACAUAUAAGAUAGGAGUCUUUACACUUAUAUUCUUCAAACAAUUAUAAGCUGUCUUCAACUUUACUGUUAAACUACAAUUAUAAAGAAUUAACAAUCUCACACACCAACAACAUUUAUAAGCCAUCACUCACAUGAAACAAGGUGCCUCAAUGUGAAAAAACCAAGAUCAAUAAGAAAUGAGGUUCCACUUAACCAAGCUGAGAAUUUUCUGGUUUUCCAACUCCAUGCACAAACCUAAUACAAUGAUAUGAUAUUCAAUCAGCAUUAAUUGGCAUAAACAGGUACAUUGUUGUAAAACUGGGAUUAUAAGGUUCCAUAGGAUGGAGAAAAGUAAGAAGAGGAUUUACCAAUUACCCUUUCAAAUGGAGCUCCUCAGGAUUUCAUAAUGCCUUCACUGCAAAUGCAACCCAAAUAUGCUAAAAAAGUUAAUGAAACUAUAUAUGAAGAGUUUCAAGAAAAUGCAACUCUGGGACAACAGAGAAACCCAUCUCAUGCUGAACAGAAACAUCAAACUAUAUCUAACAAUAACUUAGAAAUCUUUGUCAACAAUUGAACGAACCCACUCCUAAAAUGCCAUUGAAAAUGUAAAUAAAACAAAAUAAAUUAAAAACGAGAAAUUCAUAAUAAAAAUUCAACGUGUUGAAACUUAUGAUAACUCAGUUUAGAUCCUGACCAAUGAAAGACUAAUUAGCAGAAGAGGAAGAGACUAGUUGACAGGGUAGCUUUCGGCCUUUCUCUUCCUAUCUUUCCUUGUUUCUCUUGAAGACUGUGCAACAUUGCUUCCACUGGAUUCUUCAAUGUCAACAUCACCACCAUAUUUAUCAUCUUUCUUUUUGGUAUAAAGGGGGCAUAUGCCGCAUUCUUUUAUUGUGAUGUCUGAUGCCAUCACUCUCACACCUGAUUUGUAACUAUACAGACUGAUCUCAAAAGUGAAGCUGCGAGCAUCACAGACCCUAAGGCUCUUGCGGCUCGCCGUUAGGGACUCCAUGUUAAAUUUCCACACGAAUGUGUGAUCUUCAUCAACACAUCUGUGUUCACCAUUCCAUUUGAAAUAGCUGUUUAACACAUCAUUAUUUAGAAUGAUCUGUGUGCCAUCAUCAUCAUCAGAUUCAAAUUUUAGACUGUAACCAAAAGAACCAUAUCUACAUUUAACAGCUUUCGUAUCUAACACUCCAAAAACCACACACAAAGCGAAACCAGUGAGCCUAUCAUCGCUGCAGAAACUUAAAUCUUCAUUUAUAGUCACUGAAUGUCCCUUCCCACGAGAAUGGAACCAACGAGGAACUGCAUUCCCUGGAAAACAGAAGAACACAGACCUAUAUGCAUCGUCGGUCAUCCUAACCCAUGCAUCCUCCUCAAUGUUAGCACGAGCACCUGAAUCCAGUUGCUGAGCAUUGGUGAAAUGAAAUUUGAAGACACCCUCUUUGGAGUUUGAGAAGUUUGGAACAAGAGAAUUUGACAUCACUCUUCUGAUGGAUGGGCAAUCCAAUGCCACGAGUUGUUUUAGAAAUGGUGGAAUCUGUGGGAUGGAUUCAAGUUUUUUGCAGUCGCUUAAAUCGAGCGAGUUCAAGCUUGAAAGAUGAGCAAUGCUCUCAGGAAGGUUCACGAUUCCGCUAUCACGCAGUGACAGUUCCAUUAAUGACGUCAAGCGACCGAUGUGGCUUGGGAUUUCUGUUAAUUUGGCACACCCCGAACAAUCAAGUUUAGAGAGAAGCUUCAGAUUAACAAUGGAGUUUGGAAGUGACUCGAGAUGAAUGCACUCUUGGAGUUCCAGGGAUCGAAGAUUAACGAAAUUGCCAAAUGAGGAAGGCAGUUCUUUAACAGCCGUAGAUGUUAAGUUAAUGUGAGCAAAAGUAUGAGCCGGCUCCGCGAUCUCUGGGAAGGUCCUCAGCCUUGAGCAACCACGCAAAUCAAGGUUCCUCAACUUCAAAUUGAAAAUGGUGCUUGGAAAAGUUUGAAGUGAAUUACAGUGGGUAAGGUCUAACUUGCAUAGUCUGGUGAGGGUUCCAAUGGAAGAUGGAAUAAUCUCAAGAUUCAAGCAACUGCGCAAACUCAGUCCUUGAAGCCCUACCAAACGGCACAAGGAUGAAGGUAGUGCCUGUAUGGCUGUGCCGUCUAAGAUGAGCACCACUAGAUCUUCCAACGUGUCCUGAAUCUCGGGUAAAUUUUCCAAUUUUGAGCAACCACUGAGAGAAAGUUUCUUUAUGAAUUUCAUAUCAGAAAGGUGAAAUGGAAAGAUUGUAAGGGAAGAACAGUGAGAGAGAUCUAAGUAACAGAGCUUCUUGCGAUUAAAGUUGAAGUGACAGAGCUUCAUGAGUUUUGUGAACACUUUAAAACAUAUAGUAUCAUUAGCCACUUCUUCUUCCUUAUAUCUGUCAAAAGUAAUUGAGAAAAUUUCACUGGAAGUUGGGAAAAAAGGACCACGGUGUCGACGUUUACCACGCCGUCCUGAGAAAUUCGUCAUAUCCGGUUCCUGACGAGGGAAUAUUGAGAAAGUUUGAAGUUGACGCUCCAGUAUCACAUGAGGGAAUCUGGGUUUACUGAUCGAAAACAUAUUAAGCUUCGGACAACGGGAAAGAGUAAUCCAUCCUGGUGAUGUGGAUAAAAUGUUGCUGGGAAUAUUUACACUAUUCAGAUCAUUACAAUCAUCUAAACAUAAACAACUGAGCUUGUUGAGGAAUAUCCAAGAGUGAACUUCAAUCAACUUUUCACAACUUUUCAGAAUUAUUUCUUCAAUAUUUGGUGACAUAGAAAGGUCUGGUAUUCUAGUAAGUUUCCGAGAAUAACUCAGGUCGAGCCUUUUCAAGUUGGGUAAAUUCUGCCACAAAUAGGAAAUGAAUGAGGUAACAAAUAAAAACUACUUUAUCUAUUUUUCUUCGGUAAAAUAUUAGCUACAUCAUCUAAUCUAUUCACUUUAUAUUUUACAUUACUUCAAAACCACUGUUAAAAAAAAUCACACUGUCAACUAACAAAACUGUGGCUAUAAAUUUAAUAGUUAUUAUAAAAAACCACAAAAUUUAACGUGUUUUUGUUCCCUACCUCAAAUUACAUCCUAAUAAUUUGAACCUAAACUUAUUAUGUAUUUAAAAACUGAUGAUAGUAAUUUAUAAUCGAUGACAGUGUGGAAAUACUUUAUAUCAUGCAUGUAUCAACUGACAAAAUAAAAUGGUGUUGUCUGAUGAUAGUAAUUUAUAAUCGAUGACCAUCUUUCCAUAAUUUAUUUUAUUAAAUACAUAAUUUGUUGUAUAUUAUAUUGAAGUUUAUGUUAUAAUAAUAAAAAAAUACUUAAUUAGGUUUUGAGUAUCCAGUAAGACAUUUUUAAUUAAUUUUUUUAUUAAAUUUUUUAAUUAUUUAAGUACUCAAAUUUUUUAUAUUUCCAAUAGAAUAUAUGUCAUUUUUAAUUUUUGAGUUAAUUGGGUGAUACAGAAAUUAUCUUGUCACAUGAUCUUACUUACUUGUCUUUAUGUAUUAAGGAAUAUGAAGUUUUAUGAUUGGCCAUUAGACUAUAUACCUAAAAAGAGGAUGCAAACUCUUCUACAUGCUACUAAAUUUAUAACUAUCUUUAAUUAGAAACAUGCUGAGUAUGAUUCUUAUGAUAUAUGUAUAACUGUGUGGUUCAAAUAAAAGAAAUUUCAAAUCGAAUAAUGUGGAGAAGCACAAAGGAAUUGCAAAUGAAAACCAGUAGAUGUAUAAUACAGAAAACAUGCUUGUAUAACUUAUUUUUGUCUUUGAAAGUUUAGAACACAAAGAAACAUAGAUAGCUUGAAAAACCUGAUCUCCUUCCCAGAGUUGUUCAAGAUGGCAGUAUGGCAUUUCGAGGGUCACUAGAUUUUGCGGGCAAAAGUUUGGAGGCAAAGAUCUUUGAGGGAAAUGUUUCCAAUAAAGAAUCUUUAGAGUGUCUGGCAGACCUACAAUAGAUGAUUCAAGAGACACAUUUGACGUGUAUUUUGGCGUGUUGAGCAUAAGCAUCCUAAGAUUGUCCAUCUUUUCGAAACUUUGUGCAUGUACUACAACUUCAUUUACUUUGCUCGUAUCUAGUGAUAUACACUGUAUUGCAUCUAACCCCUGAAAGUAAAUCAAUGUAAUUAGAAAAAAAAAGCAUGAAAUGUUGCUGUAUGGUUAUGGGCAGAUUGAUGAGAUAUGGUAACCUUCGGAUACUGAUCAUGAAGUGACAUAAAGGAGAAGGAAGCGUUACUGAAGGAGAGUAAUGGAAAUUUAUGAGAAAUUAAGCCGUUGGUUACAGAGACUAGGUAGGGACCGAGUCAUCUAUACCAGGGACCGAGUCAUCUAUAAGAGGAGGCAGAGACGAAGAGUAGGGGUAGGAAAAAAAGAUAUGGUUUUUAUAUUAUCUUUGAUGCUCUAGCUAAGGAUCAUCUGUCCUAAAACAGUUGCAUUUCUGGAUGUUUAAUGACAGCUCAAUAGUUUGCAGUUUUUUCACAAAGUAACAACAGAAUAUACCUUGUUUUUUCUUAAAACAUCACAAAUUUCCUCAGCAUUAAACAGUCGGCUGCGUUUUCCAGGAUGCCGACGACACUCUUUACGAACAAUUUCUUGACCCAUUUCUUGUAUUAGAUCGUGCAUCAUAAUAAUACCAUUAAAGACAGAUAUUAGGCACCUAUCUUUGAGAACAUCCAUUACAAUCUUAGUAGAGAAACCAUUGCAGUCAUCAAGUAUUUCUGCCAGCACAAUCUCCUGGUAUCCUCUAUAAAAGCAAGCAAUGUCAAGAAAUAUAUUCUUCUCCACCUCCUCGAGCCCAUCAUAACUUAAUUUUAAUACAUUGAAAAUACCAUGAUGUUGGCCCUUUUUCAACUUUUGCAACUGACUUUCCCAUGCUUCUUUUGUUCUGUCACAAAGCAAUGAGCCCAAAAUCUGGAGAGCUAACGGAAUCCCUUUUGCAUAACUCAACACCUUUCCUGACAGUUCCUUGUAAGCAAUUUCUUCUGAAGAUUUUUGUUUAAAAGCAUGUAAACUAAAAAGUCUUAGAGAAUCAUCAGAAUUCAACUCCUUAACUUCGUAGAUAUCAUCAGCUCUAGCAUUCUUAAGCACUUGUCUGUCUCUACUGGUCAUAAUGAUUCUACUGCCCUGCCUAAAACUAUCACUCCAUCCUAUUAAUUUUUGAAGUUGAGCUGAAUCGGUAACAUCAUCAAGAAUGAGGAGAGCCUUUGUCCGUUUGAGCCUUUCUUUGUAAUAUGGUAAAGAAGAAGAUUUCUCUUCCUUUAGAAGCUCAGACAGAUAUUUUGUUCUGAUACUAUCUAUUCCAUCUCUUUGUAUUUUUUCUUGAACGUCUAAAACAAGGCUGCUGGAAUCAAACUGCAAUGCCAAUUUCUGAUAUAUUUGAUCACAAAUUGUACUUUUUCCUAUUCCUCCCAUGCCCCAAAUUCCUAUGAUCCGAACAUCCGGUGACUCAGGAUGCAACAAGGACUGAAUUCCUUCAAUAUGUUUUUGAAUGCCGAUGAUUCCUUGAUCAUAACUGGUGGAAUAAAGAUUCAAUUUUCCCAAAAUAUCUUCCACAAUUUUUUCAACAAGUUUGUGGUCAUUCCUGGCAGAUGAUUUAGAAAAUAAAGUAUAAGAAUUCAAGCACAAAAGCUAAACUAAACUAAAGAAAAAUUCAGAGUCAAGAGGAGUGAACAUCAUUGAAUAGAUUCACAUAUCGAUUCUAGUUUCGAGUUCUGGAUAAAAUAAAUAAAUUAAAAAGUUGAAGGUAAGUUUAGGACGUUAUCUUCCUAUAUUAGUUUGGUUGGUUUAGUAAUUGCAAAUCAAGAUCGCAGAAAUUCUACAGUAACCGUAUGUGACUUCUGAUAAUAGGGAGCAGAUUUGUAGGUACAAAGUUAAGCUAUAACAUGUGAUAUGGUUCAGAUCCAUGACCGACUAAGAGAAAUGAAAAAAGAAACACUUGAUUUAUGGUGAGAUGAACACAAUUUUAGUAAAUGAAAAGAGAUCCUGAUUAUCUAAUAAAUAUAAUGACCUGGUGACUUUUGAAUCCCAGCCUGCAAGUUCAGCAGCUUCGGUUAGAGCAUCCUUCCAUCCUUGCACUCUGUCCAUGUCGUGCUUAAGCCGCUGUUCAUGCUCAUCAAAUGCUUCUUUGAAUCUUUGUUCCUGCUUCCUAAUAGUUGAUGGAUCCACCUUGUAGAAAACAGGUAUCACAUCCCUUCCAUAUCUCUUCUUGCAUUCAAGUAUCUUAGUGAGUUCAUUCAAGCACCAAGUGGAAGAUGCAUAGUUUUGGGAGAAAACGAUGACAUAAAUCUUUGAUUCUUCUAUUGCAGAGAGUAGUGCAGGUGAAAUUUCUUCGCCCCGGGGUAGUCUCUCGUCAAUAUAUGCUUGAAUGUUCUUCCUUUGCAGUGCUGCAUGAAGGUGACGAAUGAAGUUGUCACGUGUGUCUUCCCCUCUGAAGCUGAGAAACACAUCAUGCUUUGUUAGAGAAGCAGACACGGGGAAUGAUGAAGGACUUCCUGACAUUGGAAUCAAUUUUCUCUCUUUUCUCUUGCAACUCUCAGUGCCUUUGUUUGUACACAAAUCAACUCUUGGAAAAGUCUUUGAAUUUUCUCAAAAGUAUCUUUCACAGAUCACGCACGCGUGGAAACAUAGCUGUGUUAAAAUCCUUAUUUAAGUUUUAAUUGGGCCUUGUAGUGGGCUUUGUAAUGUGCUUUUCUUUUCUCCUACAUUGCUUUAUAUAUACACCUCAGCGUUUGCUUUCUACAUUUCAUUUUACAAAAUACAUUCUCUCAUUUUCUACCUUUUAUAUUGUCUGAUUCCGUUCUCUCUUUAUUUUUUUUCAAAUCUCUUUUGCUUACAAUUUUUUUUUCUUUUUUAAGAAAUGUACUUUUUCAAGUUUAAUUUAAUUUUAUAAAACAGUCAUCUUUCUACAGUAUUAUCAUCUCUUACGUGAGAUUAUUAUAUAUUAUUUGGUGAUCUAAGUAAACUUUUAAUCCAAUAAACUUUAAAAAUAAUUCUAAUACUAUAUUAAAAAAUGAAAUUUAAAUCUAAUUCUAUUUUAUAAAAUAUAUUUAUUCAAUGCUAAAAUAUCUCUAAUUGAGUAGGGAUGUUCAAAAUACUUAUUGGUUCUUGAUUUUCACUUUCACUUUUAAGGUUUUUCUUCGCAGACACGUAGUAAACAGAAAUACAAAAAUAUGAGUCAAUGGAAGAGUCUAACGAUUCGCAGAAUAUUAUGGUGUCUAGCUUUAUACCGCAUUAAUGCGAGGAGUUUCUUUAAUAUUUUUACUCAAUUUAUUUAUUUUUAAUUCUUUUUUUUUUCACACCUUUUACAAAUAAAGAAUCGUAUUUCUUUAAUAUAUUUUAGAAAAUAACCACUAAACCUUAUUAUAAAAUAUAUUUAUGAAAUGCACGUGUAAGAAUAACAGGAAAAAUAUUACUACGAAAAACAAUAUAUUAAUAUUAAUAUGUUUCUUAAUAAAUUUCAUACCCACUGUCUAUUUAUAAAUUAAUAUAAUAUAAAUAUCUUUAAUGAUGUUUUUGUGGGUAGCUUAUUUCUCUAACGCAGAAUAUUAUGGUGUCUACUUUUAUAAAACAUUACAUUUUGAUUUUAAUAUUUAUUAAAUAUUUUUUAUUUGGGAUGAAGUAACGAUGAUGAAUCGAAUGUGUUUUGAAGUCUGACAUAACUUUUAGAGAUGUUAUGAGAACGGUUAAUGACGGAAAUUAUCAAAAACCUUUUGGGGGAAGGUUGUGGUUUUGGGAGGUGAUUUCAGGUAAAUAUUGUUAGUGGUAAAAAAAGGAUUAAGAUAUGAUGUUGUGAAGUCAACAAUCAACUUUUCUCAUUUGUGGUUAAAUUGUCGAGUCUUAAAACUUUCUCAAGGAAAUCCAACACGAUCUAUUGAUUGAGCCCACAAAAACACCUUUGUUAUCAUUGGUGAAUUUUGUUUAUCCUAAUUUAUUGACUGAUAUGUUAUGUCCUGAGUACUUUGAGUAUGGAGCAAUACUUUGUCCGACAACUGAAUCAGUAGAGCAAGUGAAUGAUUUUAUUUUAUCUCUGUUAAGUGGUAAAUAAAUAAAUUAUCUUAGUUCGGAUACACCUUGCCAAUUAGAUUAAGAUCAAGAAUUUAAAGUGAAUGGUUCACUUCUGAGUUCUUAAAUGAGAUAAAAUGUUCAGAGAUACUAAAUCAUCGCCUUCAUUUGAAAAUUGGCGUGCCUAUUAUGCUUUUGAGAAAUAUUGAUCAAACCAACGGUCUUUGUAAUGGAACAAGGUUGCAAGUUAUUGAUUUGAAGAAAAUGUUAUUUGUGCAAUAGUUCUAACAGGAACAAAUAUUGGUGAUAAAAUCUUUAUUUCAAUAAUGAAUUUGAUCCCUUUAGAUGUAGGUAUGCCAUUCAAAUUCUAGAGAAGACAAUUUCCAAUAACUUUAUGUUUUGCAAUGACAAUUAAGAAAAGUCAAAGUCAAUUAUUGACCAAAGUUGGUUUAUAUUUUUCACGUCCAAUUUUCACACAUUGAUAGUUGGAUGUAGCUAUUUAUAGAGUUAGAAAGAAAAAAAUUUAAAAAUUCUAACUCUUGAUGAAGAUGGGAAUGCAACAAACAAGAAAAAGAAAAUGUUUACACUGAAACUUUUGACAAUAUUUAAAAACAAUAGAAUUAUAUGAUAAACUUGGAAUAAUGGCUAAUUCUCCCUGCACCCAAUAUUUUUGAACAUGCAACUUUUAAAUUUGCUCCCUUGUAAUUAUAUUUUCUUAUGUGUGAUGUAGUAACAGUUGCCUUAUUUAAAAUGUUACUAAAUAACAUAUCAUUUAUAUCUGUUAUUUUUAUUCUGUUCUGAUUUUAUAUAUAUGUUAACGAAGUUGAGAAUUUUCUGAUUUUACAGGUCCAUGCACAAACCUAAUAUAAUGAUAUGAUAUUCAAUAUCAAGAGGUACUUGUCGUAAAACGGGGAAUAUGAGAGACUCCAUAGAAUGAAGAAAAAGUAUAAAGAGGAUUUACAAAUUACCCUUUCAAAUGCAGCUCCUCAGAAUUUCUUAAUGCCUUCACUGCAAAUGCAACCCAAAUAAGCUAAAGAAGUUAAUCAAACUAUACAUUAAGAGUUUCAAGAAAAUGAAACUCUGGAACAACAGAGCAACCCAUCUCAUGCUCAAUAGAAACAUCAAACUAUAUCUAACAAUAACUUAGAAAUCUUUGUCAACAAUUGAACGAACCCACUCCUAAAAUGCCAUUGAAAAUGUAAAUAAAUAAAUAAAAAUUAAAAAUGAGAAUUCAUAAUAAAAUUUCAUCGUGUUGAAACUUGUAAUUUAGAAGUAUUACGAUAAGCCAGUUUUGAUCCUCGCGAAUGAAAGACUAAUUAGCAGAAAGACUGUGCAAAAUUCCUUCCACUGGAUUCUUCGAUGUCAACUGAUUUGGUAUAAAGAGGACAUAUGCCGCAUUCUUUUAUUGUGAUAACUGAUUUCAACUCUCUCACAAGUAAUUUGCGAUUUGACCGAUUUGGCCGCAGAAAGGGAUCAUCAUAAUCAUGCGAACUGAUCUCAAAAGUGAAGCUGCGAGCAUCACACAGCCUAAGGCUCAUGCCGCUUGCCCUUAGGGACUCCAAGUUAAAUUUCCACACCAAUGUGUGAUCUUUAUCAACACCUCUCUCUUCAUCAUCCCAUCUGAAAUAGUUGUUUAACACAUCAUUAUUUGGAAUUAUCCGUGUGCCAUGAUCAUCAGAUUCAAAUUUUAGGCUGUAACCAAAGGAACCAUAUCUACCUUUAACAACUUUCGUAUCUAACACUUCAAAAACCACACACAAAGCGAAACCACUGAGCCUAUCAUCGCUUAAAAAACUUAAAUCUUCAUUUAUAGUCACUGAAUGUCCCUUCCCACGAAAAUGGAACCAACCAGGAACUGCACUCCCUGGAAAACAGAAGAACACACACCUAUAUCUAUCGUCGGUCAUCCUAAGCCUUGCAUCCUCCUCAAUGUUAGCACGACCACCUGAAUCCAGUUGUUGAGCAUUGGUCAAAAGAAAUUUGAAGAAACCCUCUUUGGAAUUUGACAAGUUUGGAACAAGAGAAUUGGACAUCACUCUUCUAAUGGAUGGGCAAUCCAAUGCCACUAGUUUUUUUAGAAAUGGUGGAAUCUCUGGGAUGCAUUCAAGCUUUUUGCAGUCGCUUAAAUCAAGCGAUUUCAAGCUUGAAAGAUGAGCAACGCUCUCAGGAAGGUUCACAAUUCCGCUAUCACACAGUGACAGUUCCAUUAAUGACGUCAAGCGACCGAUAUCUCUAGGGAUUUCUGUUAAUCUGGCACACCCCGAACAAUCAAGUUUAGAGAGAAGCUUGAGAUUAACAAUGGAGUUUGGAAGUGACUCCAGAUCAGUGCAUUUGCGGAGCUCCAGGGAUCGAAGAUUAACCAAAUUGGCAAAUGAGGAAGGCAGUUCUUUAACAGCCGUACAUAUCAAGUUAAUGUGAUCAAAAGUAGGAGCCGGCUCUGUGAUCUCUGGGAAGGUCCUCAGACUUGAGCAACCACACAAAUCAAGGUUCCUCAACUUCAAAUUGAAAAUGGUGCUUGGAAAAGUUUGUAGUGAACUACAGUGGGUAAGGUCUAACUUGCAUAGUCUGGUGAGGCUUCCAAUGGAAGAUGGAAUAAUCUCAAGAUUGAAGCAACUGCACAAACUCAGUUGUUGAAGCCCUACCAAACGGCACAAGGAUGAAGGUAGUGCCUGUAUGGCUGUGUCGUCUAAGAUGAGCACCACUAGAUCUUCCAACGUGUCCUGAAUCUGGGGUAAAUUUUCCAAUUUUGAGCAACCACGGAGUGAAAGUUGCUUUAGGAACUUCAUAUCAGAAAGGUCAAAUGGAAAGAUUGUAAGGGAAGAACAGUGAGAGAGAUCUAAGUGACAGAGCCUCUUGAGAUUUUGAAAGUUUGAGGGUACACCUUCGAGUAUUGUCGACACUUCACAUUGUGAGUAUAUAGUAUUAUUACCCACUUCUUCUUCGUUAUAUCUGUCAAAACUAAUUGAGGAAAUUUCACUGGAAGUUGGGAAAAUACCUUUAGCAUUAUGGAAUUUAACAGUCCCUCCCAAAAGUAAACUUGAGAAAGUUGGACGUUGACCCUCCAGUUUCACAUGAAGGUAUCUGGGUUGACUGGUUGAAAACAUUUCAAGCUCCUCACAGUGAGAAAGAAUGAUCAAUCCUGGAGAUGUGGAUAAAAUCUUGUUGGGAAUAUUUACACUUUUGAGAUGAUAACAAUGAUCUAAACAUAAACAACUGAGCUUGCUGAGGAAUAUCGAAGAGUGAACUUUAAUCAACUUUUGACAAUAACUCAGAAUUAGUUCUUCAAUAUUCGGUGACAGAGAAAGGUCUGGUAUUCUAGUAAGUUUCAGAGAAUGACUCAGGUUGAGCCUUUUCAAGUUGGGUAAAUUCUGCCACAAAAAGUAAAUGAAUCAGGUAACAAUGAAAAACUAAAAUAAAGUUUUAUGCAAUUUUAUCUAUUUUUCUUCGGUAAACUAUGAGCUACAUCAUCUAUCGAGUUUAUAUUUUACAUAAAACCACUGUUAAAAAAAUCACACUGUUAACUAACAAAAUUAUGGUCACUAUAAAUUUUAUAGUUAUUAUAAAAAUUCACAAAAUUUAACGUGUUUUUGUUCUCUACCUAAAAUUACAUCCUAAUAAUUUGAACCUAAGCUUAUUAUGUAUUGAAAAACUUACUAUAGUAAUUUAUAAUCCAUGACAAUGUCGAAAUACUUUAUACUAUGCAUGUUAAAAUUUGAUAAAAUGUCGAAAUACUGACAAAAUAAAAAUGGUGUUUUCCGAGAGUUAAAAUUAAACUUUAGUUAAAAUAAGUCCAUCUUUACAUAUUUUAUAAUUUGUUGUAUAUUAUAUUGAAGUUGAUGUUAUAAUAAAAAAAUGACUUAAUUAAUCGAAAAAUGUGGAGAAAACACAAAGAAAUUGCAAAUGCUUGUAUAAUUUAUUUUUAUCUUUGAAAGUUUAAAAGACAAAGGAACAUAGAUAACUUGAAAAACCUGAUCUCCUUCCCAGAGUUGUUCAAGACGGCAGCCUGGCAUUUCGAGGAUCACUAGAUUUUGUGGGCAAAAGUUUGGAGGCCAAAAUCUUUGCGGGAAAUCUCUCCAAUAAAGAAACUUUAGAGUGUCUGGCAGACCUACGAGAGAUGAUUCAAGAGACACAUUUGAUAUGUAUUCAGUUGAGUAGAGUAAAAACGUCCAAAGAUCAUCCAACUCUUUACGAGACACAUCUGAUAUGUAUUUAGUUUUAUUUUGCUCGUAUCUAGUAAUAUACACUGUAUUGCAUCUGACCCCUGAAAGUAAAUCAAUGUAAUUAGAAGAAAAAAACAUGAAAUGUUGCAUUGCAGGAUGUUUGAUGACAGCUCAGUGGUUUGCAAUUUUUCACAAAGUAAAUUAAUGACAGGUCAGUAGUUAUAUACCUUAUUCUUUCUUAAAACCUCACAAAUUUCCUCAGCAUUAAACAAUCGGCUGCGUUUUCCAGGAUGCUGAGGACACUCUUUACGAACAAUUUCUUUACCCAUUUCUUCUAUUAGAUCGUGCAUCACAAUUCUACCAUCAAUGACAGAUAUUAGGCCCCUAUCUUUCAGAAUAUCCAUUCCAAUCUUAGAAGAGAAACCAAAGUCAUCAAGUCUUUCUGCUACCUCAAUCUCCUCGUGACCUCUAUAAAAGCAAGCUAUGUCAAGAAAUAUAUUCUUCUCCUCCUCCUCCAGCCCAUCAUAACUUAAUUUUAAUACAUUGAAAAUACCAAGAUGUUGGCCCUUUUUCAACUUUUGCAACUCACUCUCCCAUGCUUCUCUUGUUCUGCCAUAAAGCAAUGACCCCAAAAUCUGGAGAGCUAACGGAAUCCCUUUUGCAUAUCUCAACACCUUUUCUGACAGGUCCAUGUAAGAUUUUUCUGCUGAAGAUUUUUGUUUAAAAGCAUGUAAACUAAAAAGUUUAUGAGAAUCAUCAAAAUUCAACUCCUUAACCUCGUAGAUAUCAUCAGCUCCAGCAUUUCUAAGCACUUGUCUGUCUCUACUGGUCAUAAUGAUUCUACUGCCCUGCCCAAAACUACCACUCCCUCCUAUUAAUUUUUUAAGUAUAGCUGAAUCGGUAACAUCAUCAAGAAUGAGGAUAGCCUUUGUCCGUUUGAGCCUUUCAUUGUAAUAUGAUAAAUCAGGGGAUUUCUUUAUCUCUUCCUUUAGAAGCACAGACAGAUAUUUUCUUCUGAUACUGUCUAUUCCAUCUCUUUGUAUUUUUUCUUGAACGUCUAAAACAAGGCUGCUGGAAUCAAACUGCACUGCCAAUUUCUGAUAUAUUUGAUUACAAAUUGUAGUUUUUCCUAUUCCUCCCAUGCCACAAAUUCCUAUGAUCCGAACAUCCGUUGACUCAAGAUGCAACAAGGACUGAAUUCCUUCAAUAUUUUUUUCAAUGCCGAUGAUUCCUUGAUCAUAACUGGUGGAAUAACGAUUCAAUUUUCUCAAAAUAUCUUCCACAAUUUCUUCAACAAGUGCGUGUUCUGGCCUGGCAGAUGAUUUAGAAAAUAAAGUAUAAGUAUUCAAGCACAAAAGCUAAAGUAAACUAAAGAAAAAUUUUACAGUAACCGUUUGUGACUUCUGAUACUAGGGAGCAGACUUGUAGGUACAAAGUUAAACUAUAAGAUCAGAUAUGGUUCAGAUCCAUGACCGACUAAGAGAAAUGAAAAAAGAAACACUUGAUUUAUGGUGAGAUGAACACAAUUUUAGUAAAUGAAAAGAGAUCCUGAUUAUCUAACAAAUAUAAUGACCUGGUGACUUUUGAAUCCCAGCCUGCAAGUUUAGCAGCUUCAGUUAGAGCAUCCUUCCAUCCUUGCACUUUAUCGUGCUUAAGGUGCUGCUCAUGCUUUUCGAAUGCUUCAUUGUAUCUUUGUUCCUGCUUCCUAAUAGUUGAUGGAUCCACCUUGUAGAAAACAGGUAUGACAUCCCUUCCAAAUCUCUUCUUGCAUUCAAGUAUCUUAGUGAGUUCAUUCAAGCACCAAGUGGAAGAUGCAUAGUCUUGGGAGAAAACGAUGACAUAAAUCUUUGAUUCUUCUAUUGCAGAGAGGAGAGCAGGUGAAAUUUCUUCGCCCCUGUUUAAUCUGUAAUCAAUAUACGCUUCAAUGUUCUUCCUCUGCAGCGCUGCAUAAAGGUGACUAAUGAAGUUGUCACGUGUGUCUUCCCCUCUGAAGCUGAGAAACACAUCAUGCUUUGUUAGAGAAGUAGACACGGGGAAUGAUGAAGAACUUCCUGACAUUGGAAUCAAUUUUCUCUCCUUUCUCUGCAAAUCUCAGAUUCCUUUGUUUGUACCAUUUCUACCUGAAGAAGUGUUUAAAUUUUCUCAAAAUACCUUGCACAGCGUGUUCUGGUCAGACAUAAAGAAAAAGACAAAUAUUAAGUUAAUAGAAUAGUCAACAAUUUAAAAAAUAAGUAUGAAAUAUAGAUAUAUAUCAUUAUCACGUGUGGAAGCUACGUCGUCUUGUAUUGGAUUUUCUAAUCUGCCUUUUAUCUUGUCUCAUUCUUCUUUAUCUUUUUUCUCUCAUCUCUCUUGCUUACGAUUUCUUUGCCUUUAUUCAGAAAUUUUAUUUAUAAUAAACCUUCAAUAAUAUUUGUACUUUCUAGCAUAUAGAAUACUUAAUGGAUCCUUUUCUGAUUUUUCUUUUCUAAAGUGCAAUUGAUAUUUUAAAUGUUUUUCUAUUUAAUUUUCCUUUCUUAAUGACACAUAAAAUGGUUCAGUGCACAAUUAAUUACUCUCACCUUAGAUUUCAUUCAUCUCAUUCCAUUUCCACACUCAAAUCAUUCUCACAUUUGUUUCUACCUGUUUCACAAAGUUUUAGUUAAAAUAUGGAAAUUAAUGUUCAAGAACCCUACUUAAUAUUAAUAUUCAACAAUUUAAAAUAUUAAAAUGCAAAUUAAUCUUUCUUAAUAAUGUCAUUUUUAUGUAAAAAAUAAAAUGUAGUUUAGUCAUUUAUACUUAGAUGGAUAAAGAUGGUUUUAGAAAAAAAAAUGCAUUUUAUUUCAAAGGUUAUCUAAGCUCUGAACUCAUUUAUGAAUUAAUAAUAAUAAAUAAUAUGUAAUUGUAUUCCAAUACCAUAUAAUUUUUUUUAUUGGGUGCGUUUCUGAUGAAUUAAUUAAUGCACUCUAGGGACAAUGAUCGCUCUAGUAUUUGAUUUUUUUAUUUAUUUUAAUGUUGAAAUUAUAGCUAUUUAGUACAGAUACUAUUGACACCGACACAGAUACGACACAGACACAGAGAUACUUAAAAUCUCUAAAAUGUAAGAUACAGAGACAUUAAUCUAUAUAUUAUAUAAUUAUGAAUUAUAUAAAUUAACAAUAAAGACUUAUGUGCACAAGUAUUUUGGAGAUUAUUUUUUAAGCAGAAAUAUGUUUUUCAUGACUGUUUCACAAAGAUUUGUUUCUUAUUUUUAUAAUCAUAAUAACAAUUUAUACCAUAAAGUUUGAAUUUUAGAAAAUUAAUGUAUUUUUUCUUUUUAAAAUUCCGUUAGAAUCGUACUAAAAUUGUAAAAAAUCUAACAAAUACAUUUUGAAUUGGACAUUUCACAAAUACAUGUCCUACCAGUAUCAUACGAAUGUAAACAAAAUUCUUUCUUCAUAUGCCGCAUUCUUUUACUGUGAUAACUCAUUUCAACUCUCUCACAACUGAUUCGUAAUCUGUGGGAUGCAUUAAAGCCUUUUGCAGUUAAAUCAAUAGUAUAUGAUGAUGUGAAUGUUAUUUAUAUACUAAAUAUAAUCACAUAGUAACUUCAAAUUUGAUAAGGUACAACAUGUUACCAUAUCUCUUUUAAUUUCUUUUAUUUCAUUAUAUAUUUAGGUGUAUUUAAUUUCUUUUUAUUUCAUUGUGUAUUUAGGUGUAUUACGUAAAAUAUAUAAUUAAAAAGAAAGAAGAAUAAUGUUAUUUUUAAAUUUAAAGAAUGACAUAUAGAAAUAAACAAGCUAUUUUGAAAUUUUUAGAUUUUACAAAACAUUACAUUUUGAUUUUAAUAUUUAUAAAAUAUUUUUUAAUUUCAUAUUUAAAACACAACACUUAGUUGAGUGUGUUCCUUAGUUACUUACCAAAUAACAACAUACAUCUUAUCGGGUCUUUUUGCGACCCGACCCAAACUCAUCUCGAUCCUAGUAGGGUUCGCAUCAUCUUCAAUUGAGGAGUAGAUUUGUCAGGAGGAAAAUAAAUUGAUUUAUAAGAACAUGUGAAGUUGUUUAGAUUGAGGAAUAAUAGAUGGAUUUUGAUUAUGAUUUAUGGUAAGUUUAAAAAAAAUAGAUUUGUUUCUUUUAACAUUUUUUGUAUUAUAAUUAUUUGCUGGCUGAAUUGUUUUGAGUUAACAUGUUUUCUUGGGGUAUGAUAUUGUGAGGUUUUAUUACAUGCAGGUACGUGAAUAUUUUUUUUAUUCUAGUUGUAUAAAUCAGGAAAAAAUGUUUUUCACAAUAUAAUUAUAAUAACCGUUUAACAACCUAAAUAAUAAUAAAAUAUUAACUCAUAUUAUUUAAUUAAAUUAUUAAAUAAAAAGUAGUAAAACUGAUUGUAGGAUGGGAAUAUGAUUAUUUUUAACUGCUAGCUCCUCAUUAUUCUUUUAUAAUAAAAAACACACUAGUAGGUGUUGAAAAUCGUAAUAUAACAAACAAGUUUUGACACACGUAGGUUUGGCAAUUGUUUUAAUAGCUGAAAAUAGUAAAACAAUUUUUAAUUACCACAAACUGCAUCUUAAAUCAUAAAAAAUAGCAUUUUUUAGUUCAUAUAUAAUAACAUUUCCAUAAAUAAAUCUCCCGCCGCCAUUGAUAUUAAUCAUUAAUAAUUUUAGAUAAUAUUUUUUACUAUAAAACAUUUAAUUGAGAUUGAAUUUUUAAUUCACACUUUUUGGUCAAAGAAUAAUAUAUUUCAUUUUUUUAUUUAUUAAAUAUUUUGUAUAAUGCUGAGAAAAAAAAAUCUCACACACACACACACAUAUAUAUAUAUAUGAUCCCUAUGUCCUACAAGUACAAUAUAACAUCGUUAGUAUAAUGAAUAAAAAUAAUGAGUAUUCAAAGUCGUGUAUUUACGUAAAAGAAUAACAUGAUUUUUAAAAGAACUCACAUUAUCAGUUUAAAUUUUGACGAUAAAAUACAUUAAUUAUAUAUAUUUAUUCAAAAUUUCAAUUAUAUUAUGCAUUAAUGGUUUUAUGCUUUUAGAGGAAUCAGAGAAACUUAGAAAAGCUUAAUGAAACCCUAUGAAUAAAGGAGAUGUAAAAGAAAGAGAAAAAGGAAGUGAGAAAAGAUGAUAAUUAAUAAACACCCACUCUUCAUAACAUAGAGUCUUUAAACCUAUAUUCCCUCAAACAGCAUUUAUAAGUUAUUAUCACCCACAUGGAAUAAGGUGCCUCAAUGUGAACAAACCAAGAUCAGUAAGAAAUAUGAGGUUCAAAUAACGAAGCUGAGAAUUUUCUGGUUUUACAGCUCCAUGCACAAACCUAAUACAAUGAUAUGAUAUUCCAUAGGAUGGAGAAAAGUAUGAUAUGAAGAGGAUUUACCAAUUACCCUUUCGAAUGCAGCUCCUCAGGAUUCCAUCAUGCCUUCACUGCACAUGCAACCCAAAUAUGCUAAAGAAGUUAAUCAAACCCAAAUAUAAAGAAUUUCUAGAGAAUGCAACUCUGGGACAACAGAGUACCCCAUCUCAAGCUGAACAGAAACAUUAAACUAUAUCUAACAAUAACUUAGAAAUCUUUGUCAACAAUGAACGAAUCCAACCGUAAAAUGCCAUUGAAAAUGUAAAUAAAACAAAAUAAAUUAGAUAUGAGAAAUUCAUGAUAAAAUUUCAACACUUGUAAUGUAGAAGCAUUACGAUAAGCCAGUUUUGAUCCUCACCAAUGAAAGUCUAAUUAGCAGAAGAGGAAGAGACUAGUUGACUGGGUAGCUUUCUGCAAUGCCUAUUUUAAGGUUACGCUUCCGGCAAAAAUAUAAUAGAAGACUGCUCUCAUGUCAAAGUUUCUCAUACAUAGAACAACCCGCAAAAGAGAUUAAACAUUCCAAAAGAUGUCUCAACAGAAAUGAAAUGAGAUCCUAACAACUUGUUGGGAAAGUACUAUUUUGCCUUCAAUUCCAUUACUUCCUUUUGCCUUUAAGAGUGCAGUCAUAAUCAUCAAAAUACUUAGACUUUGUGAUAUGUCUUUUGGGCUUGCUAUUCAUCUUUUGUUGCCUCCUCUUGAGCCAUAACACUUUUGGCCUUCCUCUUCCUAUAUUCCCUUGUGUCUCUUGAAGACUGUGCAACAUUACUUCGACUGGAUUAUUCAAUGUGAACAGCACCACCAUAUUCAUCAUCUUUCUUUUUGGAAUAAAGAGGGCAUAUGCCGCAUUCUUUUACUCUGAUAUCGGGCCACCAAUGGCUGAUCUCAAAAGUGAAGCUGCGAGCAUCACAGAGCCUAAGGCUCAUGCCGCUUGCCCUUAGGGACUCCAAGUUAAAUUUCCACACAAAUGUGUGAUCUUUAUCAAGAAAUCUGCCUGCAUCCGUCAAGUUUAACACAUCAUUAUUUGGAAUGAUCUGUGUGCCAUCAUCAUCAGAUUCAAAUUUUAGGCUGUAACCAAAAGAACUAUAUCUACCUUUAAUAUCAUUCGUAUCUAACACUUCAAAAACCACGCACAAAGAGAAACCAGUGAGCCUAUUAUCGCUGCAAAAACUUAAAUCUUCAUUUAUAGUCACUGAAUGUCCCUUCCCACGAAAAUGGAACCAACCAGGAACUGCACUCCCUGGAUAACAGAAGAACACAGACCUAUAUGCAUCGUCGGUCAUCCUAAGCCUUGCAUCCUUCUCAAUGUUAGCACGACCACCUGAAUCCAGUUGUUGAGCAUUGGUGAAAUGAAAUUUGAAUACACCCUCUUUGGAAUUUGAGAGGUUCCGAACAAGAGAAUUUGACAUCACUUUUCUAAUGGAUGGGCAAUCCAAUGCCACGAGUUGUUUUAGAAAUGGUGGAAUCGGUGGGAUGCAUUCAAGCUUUUUGCAGUCGCUUAAAUCAAGCGAUUUCAAGCUCGAAAGAUGAGCAAUGCUCUCAGGAAGGUUCACGAUUCCGCUAUCACGCAGUGACAGUUCCAUUAAUGACGUCAAACGACCAAUGUGCCUUGGGAUUUCUGUUAAUUUGGCACACCCCGAACAAUCAAGUUUAGAGAGAAGCUUCAGAUUAACAAUGCAGUUUGGAAGUGACUCGAGAUCAGUGCAUUUGCGGAGCUCCAGGGAACGAAGAUUAACGAAAUUGGCAAAUGAGGAAGGCAGUUCUUUAACAGUCGUAGAUGUUAAGUUAAUGUGAGCAAAAGUAUGAGCCGACUCCGUGAUCUCUGGGAAGGUCCUCAGCCUUGAGCAACCACGCAAAUCAAGGUUCCUCAACUUCAAAUUGAAAAUGGUGCUUGGAAAAGUUUGAAGUGAAUUACAGUGGGCAAGGUCUAACUUGCAUAGUCUGGUGAGGCUUCCAAUGGAAGAUGGAAUAAUCUCAAGAUUGAAGCAACUGUGCAAACUCAGUUGUUGAAGCCCUACCAAACGGCACAAGGAUGAAGGUAGUGCCUGUAUGGCUGUGUCGUCUAAGAUGAGCACCGCUAGAUCUUCCAACGUGUCCUGAAUCUCGGGUAAAUUUUCCAGUUUUGAGCAACCACUGAGACAAAGUUGCUUUAGGAAUUUCAUAUCAGAAAGGUCAAACGGAAAGAUUGUAAGGGAAGAACAGUCAGAGAGAUCUAAGUAACAGAGGUUCUUGAGACUUUGAAAGUUUAAGGGCACACCUUCCAAGAGACUGUUGAACACCUCUGAGUCUUCUGAGUCUGUAGCAUUAUUAGCCACUUCUAUAUUAUAUCUGUCAAAAGUAAUUGACAAAAUUUCACUGCUUGGGGAAAUUUCACUGGAAGUUGGGAAAUUUAUCUCUUUCGUCAUAUCCAGUUCCUGACGCUCCAGUAUGACAUGAGGGAGAAAUUUAUCUUCAUGUUUACUGAUUGAAAACAUAUUAAGCUUCCGACAAUGGGAAAGAGUAAUCCAUCCUGGUGAUGUGGAUAAAAUGUUGCUCGGAAUAUUUACACUAUUCAGAUCAUCACAAUGAUCUAAACAUAAACAACUGAGUUUGCUGAGGAAUAUCGAAGAGUGAAUUUCAAUCAACUUUUUACAAUAACUCAGAAUUAUUUUUUCAAUAUUUGGUGACAUAGAAAGGUCUGGUAUUCUAGCAAGUUUCCAAGAACGUGUCAGGUCGAGCCUUUUCAAGUUGGGUAAAUUCUGCCACAAAAAGUAAAUGAAUCAGGUAACAAAUAAUAACUACUUUAUCUAUUUUUCUUCCUAUUUAAACUAUUAGCUACUACUAUUGAGUUUAUAUUUUACAUUACUUAAAAACCACUGUUAAAAAAGCCACACUGUGGACUAACAAAAUUAUAUUUUAAAAUAUUAUUAAAGAUAAAAUAUGAAGAUAGGGUAAUUAAAUUAAAUAUAAUUUUUAUUUUUCAGAAAUGAUGAAAAUUAUAAUUAAAUUAACUAAAUUAUAUAAAAUUCCAUUUUAUUUACAUAACUCCUUUUCAUAUUAAAAAACUAUAUAAGAUCUUGAAACUAUAAUUAAUAUCUUAAAAAUUUAAAUAAUAAUAAUUAUUUCUACUCAUCCUUAAUUUUUGUUGGUGAAAUCUUGAUUUUUGGGAUAAUAUCACUUAAACUUAAGAAAUAUUUGACAUUAAUGAACUCUAAACAAAUUUAUAUAAGAAAUCAAGACAUCACUUUCAAUCCGAAAUCUUAAACUAAUAGGUUUAUGGAUUUUCUUUAUAUGUUGUUCAUCUUACCAAUUUGAACCCAAUGCGAGACUUUCAACUCUAAGAGAUGAAGUGGUGUACUUUAUGCUUCUAGGACUUGUUAGAUAUUGAAACAUGUACCAUUGCUAAAAUGUUUGAAUGAAGGAGAAGUCAAAGUCUCUCUCCUUUAGAGAUAUUCGCUCAAGUGGCAAGAGGUUGAUUAAGCAAGAGAGAGAUCGUAUUAAUUCUCUCUUCUAUGCAAUUGUUGUCGUUCAAACAAUGUGGAAUCAUUCAAGCAAAGAAAUCUUCUUUUGGGUUAGGAAACAAGGUUUUUCAAGCGAGAUAAACUCGUCUAAAGAAUUUAACUCUAGUAGUGAAAUGUUGUUGCCAUGAUUUAGCCAAGUGUUUGUAUCUAUGAGGCUAAUGAUGAUGAUGACGAUGAUAAGAUGCAUGAAUGUGUAUACACAAGUGUAUGAUAUACCUCAUGUUAUAUAUUGUAUGUGAUUCAAUUGAUGACCAUUUAUUUUUAGGCCAUUUAUAUGUAUAUUUUGGCCCUUUUAUGAGUAUGUGACGAGAUAUACCUAAGAUUGUAUUAUGAUCCUAAUGAGUCGAAGUAUCAAACACAAAACUCAUUAUGGAAAAAAAAAGAUAUUUUGUGCAUCAGUUAUGAUAUGAUCACAACAAUUAAAGCAUGUGUGAACGGUUAAUAUUGUUCUUAAUAAGAAAACAAAUAAUAUUGUAUGUGACAUUAGAGAUGUCAAAUAGGUUUAGAAAAUUAUUAAGUUUAAUUAUCUUUUUAGUCUUUAUAUUAAUGACCAAAAGUCAAUUCAGAUUUUUAGAAAGUUCAAUAUGAUUUAAUUUUUUAAAAAACAAUUCAAUGUGAUUCCUUCUAGUAUAUUUCCCUUAUUAAAAUAUUUUUAUCUUAAUGAUUCUGCCACUGUUAAGUUAUAUGUGUUGUUAUCACAUUGAAUUGUUUUAAAAAAAUUUGGAACCACCACAUUAAAUUGUUUUAAAAAGUUAGUACUAAAUUGAACUUUUGAAAAUUGGGAGAAUGAAAUUAAAUUUUGUCUAUUAAUACAGGGACAAAAAAUAAUUGAAUCAAAUAUUUUACUAUUUUUGUGAUGUAUAUUUAUAUAUAAAUAAUUUUGAGAAUUUAGAGUUACAAUGUGUUAUAUCAUAUAUAUAUAAUUCUUUUUGGUAAUGUAUCCUGUAGUUGUAAGCAAGUAUGAUUAUAUUAAGUGGGGCGUUUCAAAUAGUGGAGACUACGCAUAUACAAAUAUCUCUUAUAAAGUAAGAAAACAAAACAAUCGUUACUCAAGAAGAUCAUGCAAUGCAUCACAGACAACAUGGGAGAUAUAUAUCAACAAUAAUAUGAGUAAAUAAUACAUUCAUGGGCCAUUAGACGAUAUGCCUAAAAAAAAUAUGCAAACUAUUAAAUUUAUAAUUAUUUUUAAUUAGAAACAUGCUGAGUAUGACUCUUAUGAUAUAUGUAUAACUGUGUGCUUCAAAUAAAAGAAAUUUCAAAUCGAAUAAUGUGGAGAAGGCACAAAGGAAUUGCAAAUGAAAACCUGUAGAUGUAUAAUACACAAAACAUGCUUGUCUAAUUUAUUUUUAUCUUUGAAAGUUUAGAACACAAAGGAACAUAGAUAACUUGAAAAACCUGAUCUCCUUCCCAGAGUUGUUCAAGAUCGCAGUAUGGCAUUUCGAGGAUCACUAGAUUUUGUGGGCAAAAGUUUGGAGGCCAGAAUCUUUGAAGGAAACCGUUCCAAUAAAGAAACUUUAGAGUGUCCGGCAGACCUACAAGAGAUGAUUCAAGAGACACUUUUGAAUUCAAUCUAGGCAUGUAGACCAUAAGCAUCAUAAGAUUGUCCAUCUUUUCGAAACUUUGUGCAUGUACUACAGCAUCUUUUACUUUGUUCGUAUGAUAUUGAUAUACACUGUAUUGCAUCUGACCCCUGAAAGUAAAUCAAUGUAAUUAGAAAAAAAAACAUGAAAUGUUGCAUUUCAGGAUGCUUAAUGACAGCUCAGUAGUUUUCUAUUUUUCACAAAGUAACAACAGCAUAUACCUUGUUCUUUCUUAAAACCUCACAAAUUUCCUCAUCAUUAAACAAUCGGCUGCGUUUUCCAGGAUGCUGAGGACACUCUUUACGAACAAUUUCUUUACCCAUUUCUUGUAUUAGAUCGUGCAUCACAAUUCUACCAUCAAAGACAGAGAUUAGACCCCUAUCUUUGAGAAUAUCCAUUCCAAUCUUAGAAGAGAAACCACAGUCAUCAAGUGUUUCUGCUACCACAGUCUCCUCUUGCCCUCUAUAAAAGCAAGCUAUGUCAAGAAAUAUAUUCUUCUCCUCCUCCUUGAGCCCAUAAUAACUUAAUUUUAAUACGUCGAAAGUUCCAAGAUCUUGGCCGUUUUCCAACUUUUGCAACUGACUCUCCCAUGCUUCUCUUGUUCUGCCAUAAAGCAAUGACCCCAAAAUCUGGAGAGCUAACGGAAUUCCUUUUGCAUAUCUCAACACCUUUACUGACAGGUCCAUGUAAGCAAUUCCUUCUGAAGAUUUUUGUUUAAAAGCAUGUAAACUAAAAAGUUUCAGAGAAUCAUAAAAAUUCAACUCCUUAACUUCGUAGAUAUCAUCAGCUCCAGCAUUCUUAAGCACUUGUCUGUCUCUACUGGUCAUAAUGAUUCUACUGCCCUGCCCAAAACUAUCACUCCCACCUAUUAAUUUUUGAAGUUGAGUUGAAUCGGUAACAUCAUCAAGAAUGAGGAGAACCUUUGUCCGUUUGAGCCUUUCAUUGUAAUAUGGUAAAUAAGAGGAUUUCUCUUCCUUUAGAAGCUCAGACUGAUAUUUUGUUCUGAUACCGUCUAUUCCAUCUCUUUGUAUUUUUUCUUGAACGUCUAAAACAAGGCUGCUGGAAUCAAACUGCAAUGCCAAUUUCUGAUAUAUUUGAUCACAAAUUGUAGUUUUUCCUAUUCCUCCCAUGCCACAAAUUCCUAUGAUCCGAACAUCCGUUGACUCAAGAUGCAACAAGGACUGAAUUCCUUCAAUAUUUUUUUCAAUGCCGAUGAUUCCUUGAUCAUAACUGGCGGAAUAACGAUUCAAUUUUCUCAAAAUAUCUUCCACAAUUUCUUCAACAAGUGCGUGUUCUGGCCUGGCAGAUGAUUUAGAAAAUAAAGUAUAAGUAUUCAAGCACAAAAGCUAAAGUAAACUAAAGAAAAAUUUUACAGUAACCGUUUGUGACUUCUGAUACUAGGGAGCAUACUUGUAGGUACAAAGUUAAGCUAUUGUGUGAUAUGGUUCAGAUCUAUGACCGACUAAUAGAAAUGAAAAAAGAAGCACUUGAUUUAUGGUGAGAUGAACACAAUUUUAGUAAAUGAAAAGAGAUCCUGAUUAUCUAAUAAAUAUAAUGACCUGGUGACUUUUGAAUCCCAGCCUGCAAGUCCAGCAGCUUCGGUGAGAGCAUCCUUCCAUCCUUGCACUGUGUCGUGCUUAAAGUGCUGCUCAUGCUCAUUGAAUGCUUCUUUGUAUCUUUCUUCCUGCUUCCUAAUAGUUGAUGGAUCCACCUUGUAGAAAACAGGUAUCACAUCCCUUCCAUAUCUCUUCUUGCAAUCAAGUAUCUUAGUGAGUUCAUCCAAGCACCAUGUGGAAGAUGCAUAGUUUUUGGAGAAAACGAUGACAUAAAUCUUUGAUUCUUCUAUUGCAGAGAGGAGUACAGGUGAAAUUUCUUGGCCCCUGAGUAAUCUGUAAUCAAUAUAUGCUUGAAUGUUCUUCCUUUGCAGCGCUGCAUAAAGGUGACUAAUGAAGUUGUCACGUGUGUCUUCCCCUCUGAAGCUGAGAAACACAUCAUGCUUUGUUAAAGAAGCAGACAUGGCCAAUGAUGAAGGGUUUCAAUGUUCUCUGCAACUCUCAGAUCCCUUUGUUUGUAAGCAACUUCCAUAUAUUCUAUUAGGAAGGAAAAUAUAUAUUUCUACCAUUCCUACCACAAAUUGAAAAAGCCUUUCAAUUUUCUCAAAAUAUCUUUCACAGCUGUGUUCUGUCAGAUACGAAACAUUGAGUCAAUGGAAGAGUCAACAAUUGGCAGAAUAUUAUGGUGUGUAGCUUUAUACCAUUCUUACAAUAUUUGAUUGGUUGAAUAUAUACAAUAUGACUAAUGAACUUUUUUCUUUUCCGUAUUCCACGAUAAUUCCCUAGGCACCCUAUUAUACACUUUCUUAUCAACGGAAACCAUGUCUGUCCUUUUAUAGUUUUAAUCCUAUAAUAUCUUUCCAUUAAUCAUCAUUAUCACUCUUCAACCUUCAUAUCAAGUGUAUUGAUUUCAUACUUCAUCAGCUAGACAUAAUAAAAUCUCAAUAAUCUUUUAUACUGUCAACAUUUAUAAAAAAUAUUUCCUUCAAUAAUAUUUGUACUUUCUAGCAUAUAGAAUACUUAAUGGAUUCUUCUGUGAUUUUUCUUUCCUAAAGUACAAUUGAUAUUUUAACAGAUGCCGAAAGGUCUUGAAUAUGAGGCUGUUUCGAAAUGAAAAUUGGGGUAAAGCAUUUUCAAGUUAACAAGUUUUGUUGGGUGAGUGAGUGAUCAGUGCUAGCAUUUUCAAUCUCAGUUAUAGAAUGUAAAGAUUUACACAUUUAUUUGCUGAUUAAUAAUUUAUUUAUUGAAUUAAAUGUUUUAACAGUGAGUAUGGAUUCUUGAAUGAAUGUAAUCAUGGUGUAGAAUGUACAUAGUACAUAUAGUGAGUUGGAUUGAAAUGUUGAACACGUUUUCCUCUGCAAAGAUUCAGGAUAUUUAUGAACUUGCUAUAAAUUGUUUUAACUUUUCUCUGCAACUCUCAGUCCCUUUGUUUCUACCAUUUUGUUUUUGAAAAGCCUUUCAAUUUUCUCAAAAUAUCUUUCACUGCUGUGUUCUGUCAGAUACGAAACAUUGAGUCAAUGGAAGAGUCAACAAUUCGUAGAAUAUUAUAUUAUGGUGUCAAUAUUUAAUAAAUUUAUUUAUUUCUUUAACAUAUUUUAGAAAAUAACCAGUAAACAUAAAACUUUUAGUAUGACUAAAAGAAUAAAGAUAGUGUAAGAAUAACAGGAAUAACAUUACUACAAAUAACAAUAUAUUAAUAUUAAUAUGUUUCUUAAUAAAUUUUACACCCACUGUCUAUUUAUAAAUUAAUAUAUUAUAAACAUCUAUUGAUUUUUUGUGGGUAGCUUAUUUCUGUAACAUUUUAAAUUAAUUUUUUAGAUUUUACAAAACAUUACAUUUUGAUUAUAAUAUUUAGGACUGUGAUGCAAUUUCUGCAAUGAAGGCUGGCAGACUAAGUUUCUCCAAGCCCAAUUAAUACUGGGUUGAAAAUUCUGAGAAGAGGGUGAGUAUGAUGCUGCGGUCAUGAUCUAUGUAUUAAAGUGUUAAGGCAUGGGUUUGGUUGACAGGACAAUACUGGUUUUUCAUUGCUACUACUUAAUAUGAUUCUUUCUUACUGCUAUAUGAAUUUGCUGUCAAAUAGCAGUAAAUAAAAGACUUCAAAUAAAGCAUGUGUUUAUCAUACAUGGACUAAUGCAGCAGUUUUAGUAGAAGGGGCUAAUAUGAUUUUAAUCUAGAACAAGAUGGCUAAACCCAAAGAUGGUGGGAAUAAUAUCCUCAAAUCAAUUGUUUUGGUUUUCAGUGUAAUGUCAUUUGUAAGUAUCAAAAUUUGUUUGUUAUCACAUUGGAAGGUAGUAUCUGUCAUGAAAUUUGUGGAAGACCUUUACCUAUGUUUGCUUUGGGUCUGUUUUACGCCCUCUCGAAUUAAGUAAAUUUUUAAUUGCCAUCAUGAAAUUAGGCUAAAUAUGUGUAGUUUUGAGCACUUUCUUUCUUCCAUUUCAAUUCAUAGUUUCAUACAUAUUCAAUAUCAUGUGGGAAUUAAGUUCUUGCUUUUAAGGUGAAUAACAGUUUGUAUUCUUGCAGAAAACUAUUUUCUAAUGCAUAUAAAUUUCAUUUUCUAUUUUCAGCAUUGGAUUAUGUUAUGUAAUUUUUCCUUUGUAUUAUACAGAGUAGGAUUUUAAUGUUUCUACUGAACAGUGCUAUCUUUUUUCGUCCAUAUUCUGAUUUUGUUCAAUUUUUUUCAGUAUGUGCCACAUGCAGAUCAGAUGUAAGGAAUUUUCUAAAUUUUUUUUCAAGCUUUCUUGUUUGCUUAAAGUUUUCUGUAAGUAUUUAACUGUCUUAAGUUGUUAAUGAGGACUAAGGACUGAAAAAGAGAAUUAGCCAUGACAUGGUGGCAUUAUCCUUCUUCAAAACCAUUAGUUUUUUUUCCUACAAAGAUACAUGUCAAGAAAGCAAACCAGGAACAAAAGUGAUGUUUAUGAUUGCUUUCUCUCUUGUUUACUUGCUUUCUUUUUGUUGGACAAUUGUCUUAAUUGCAUUCACACCUAACCUGCAGUAGUUUCAGUCCCUUUGGGGUUGUCAUAAUUGCAGCCUCAAGAGUGGUGGUGUAGUCCAACAUCAACCAGUGAUAUAGUUCAAAUAUAGCAUAUACAUGAAAGUCGUGUUGAUAAUCAAAGGUUGCUUCAUCUUAACUAAUAACAUGUAAAUGUCAUUUGAAUGGUUAAAAAGGAAUUCACCAGUGUAACACAAAAUGAAUGGAUUGCUUGGUUAUGUGUCAACUGUUGUACUUUUUUUGAGUUGCUUGAAAAUAAUUAAAAUUUGUUUUCAUCUAGAUCUUGGUUUUUUCCUAUGAUCAAAUCUCGAUUUAUUUCUGUGCAGAACUUUCUUGUGGACAUAAAAGGACCAGCUAUAGCAUUUUUACCGGUGCUUGCAUUUGAAGGAGGAACUAGAAGAAAUAUACCUAGGUUUGAGGUGUGUAUAAAUUAUUUUUGAUGUAUUUCGUGAUGUAGAUGUAAAAUAAUGCAAUACUUUGUUUUUAGUUUCAAUGUUACUCUUUAUCUGCAGGUUGGAAACAUAUCUUGAUGAAAUAUAGAAACAUUUUUAUUCAUAAUAUAUAUAUAAGGAUUACACAUUCAUAAUUAUUUCUUUCUGUCGUAGCAUUGUCUACCUCAAAUCACUGCAACUUUCUGUUGUUGGUAUAAAAAUACAAUAUUUUAAUCCCAGUUUUGAUAGCCUCUAUUCUUCAGUGGUUGAGAUAUUUUUUAUAAGAAUUUAGAAGUUCUGAGAUAUUUAUGAUAAGAAUUUCAAGUUCUUUGUUACUAGCAGUUUAAUGGUUAUAUCAUUUUUGUUCUCUGGAAAAUAUCUUAUACAAAAUCGGUACUUAGAUUUGGUAUUUAUAUUGUUCAUAUGUAGAAAUCUAAUACUAGCAAAUUUUGUCUAAUUUAAAAGCAAUUACAUUCUACUCUUUGGAAUAUGUUCUGGCCUGCUUUUAUGAAUUAUUUGAAAAUUUGUAAUUAUAAAAUUUAGUCUUUGAAAUUAUAAAUUUAAUAGAGAAGCAUCCAUACUAAACUUUUAUAUUAUAAAUUGUCAGUUUUAUAUUGAAAACAUAUCCCCUUUAGUAUAAGACUUAAAGGAGAUGUCUUUUGGUAUAAAAACUGAAAUAAAAAAUAUUUUAACUAUAUGGGUCAAAUGGAUGAUUAAACUUAUAAAAUGUACAAUUAAACUUAUAAAUUAUAAUAAACGAUACUUUAAUUUUAAACUAUAUUGAACUUUUAUUAAUGUUCUCGCUUUUCUUUAAAAGCUAUUGAACUCUAUCUAACAAUAACUUAAAAAUGAGAAAUUCAUGAUAAAAUUUCAACACUUGUAAUCUAGAAGUAUUACGAUAAGCCAGAAGAGGAAGAGACUAGUUGACUGGGUAGCUUUCGGCGUUCCUCUUCCUAUCUUCCCCUGUUUCUCCUGAAGAGUGUGCAACAUUGCUUCCACUGAAUUCUUCAAUGUCAUUUUCUGAUGCAGAAUAGUCAACAGCACCACCAUAUUUAUCAUCUUUCUUUUUCGUAUAAAGAGGGCAUAUGCCGCAUUCUUUUAUUCUGAUACCUGAUUUCAACUCUCUCUCAACUGAUUCGUAAUCUGGCCGAUUUGGCCGCAGAAAGGGAUCAUACGGACUGAUCUCAAAAGUGAAGCUGCGAGCAUCACACAGCCUAAGGCUCAUGCCGCUCGCCAUUAGGGACUCCAAGUUAAAUUUCCACACGAAUGUCCCUUCACCAUCCCAUUUGAAAUAGCUAUUUAACACACCCUUAUAUGGAAUGAUCUGUGUGCCAUCAUCAUAUUCAAAUUUUAGGCUGUAACGAAAAGAACCAUAUCCACCUUUAAUAUCUAACACUCCAAAAGCUACACACAAAGCGAAACCAGUGAGCCUAUCAUCGCUGCAGAAACUUAAAUCUUCAUUUAUAGUCACUGAAUGUCCCUUCCCACGAAAAUUGAACCAACCAGGAACUGCACUCCCUGGAAAACAGAACAACACACACCUAUAUGUAUCGUCGAUCAUCCUAAGCCUUGCAUCCUCCUCGAUGUUAGCACGAGCACCUGAAUCCAGUUGUUGAGCAUUGGUGAAAUGAUAUUUGAAGACACCCUCUUUGGAAUUUGACAAGUUUGGAACAAGAGAAUUUGACAUCACUCUUCUAAUGGAUGGGCAAUCCAAUGCCUCGAGUUGUUCUAGAAAUGGUGGAAUCGGUGGAAUGCAUUCAAGCUUUUUGCAGUCGCUUAAAUCAAGUGAUUUCAGGCUUGAAAGAUGAGCAAUGCUCUCAGGAAGGUUCACGAUUCCGCUAUCACGCAGUGACAGUUCCAUUAAUGACGUCAAGCGACCGAUGUGUCUUGGGAUUUCUGUUAAUUUGGCACACCCCGAACAAUCAAGUUUAGAGAGAAGCUUCAUAUUAACAAUGGAGUUUGGAAGUGACUCGAGAUAAGUGCACUCUUGGAGUUCCAGGGAUCGAAGAUUAACCAAAUUGCCAAAUGAGGAAGGCAGUUCUUUAACAGCCGUACAUGUCAAGUCAAUAUGAGCAAAAGUAUGAGCCGGCUUCAUGAUCUCUGGGAAGGUCCUCAGCCUUGAGCAACCACCCAAAUCAAGCUUCCUCAAUUUCAAAUUGAAAAUGGUGCUUGGAAAAGUUUGAAGUGAAUUACAGUAGGUAAGGUGUAACUUGCAUAGUCUGGUGAGGCUUCCAAUGGAAGAUGGAAUAAUCUCAAGAUUCAAGCAACUGUGCGAACUCAGUUGUUGAAGCCCUACCAAACGGCACAAGGAUGAAAACUUAUUUUAUUUUUGCUGUUCAUGCAUAACAUUAACAAAUAUUGACAUGAGAGAUUGUGUUUGUAGGCUUCUAAGCUCACCAACGUGUCCCGUUCUUGAUGCUUUAGGGAAGAAAAUUUCCUUUGAGAUUGCAAAAGGACUCAGGAGAAUUUAGAAGUUCUGAGAUAUUUAUGAUAAGAAUUCAAGUUCUUUGUUACUAGCAGUUUAAUGGUUAUAUCAUUUUUGUUCUCUGGAAAAUAUCUGAUACAAAAUUGGUACUUAGAUUUGGUAUUUAUAUUGUUCAUAUGUAGAAAUCUAAUACUAUAGCAAAUUUUAUCUAAUUUAGAAGCAAUUAUAUUCUACUCUUUGGAAUAUGUUCUGGCCUGCUUUUAUGAUUGUAAUUAUAAAUUUAAUAGAGGAGAUUACCAAACAUCCAUACUAAUUAAACUUUUAUAUUAUAAAUUUUUUCAGUUUUAUAUUGAAAACAUAUCCCUUUAGUAUAAGACUUAAAGGAGAUGUCUUUUGGUAUAAAAACUGAAAUAAAAAAUCUUUUAACUAUAUGGGUCAAAUGGAUGAUUAAACUUAUAAAUGUACAAUUAAACUUAUAAAUUGUAAUAAACGAUACUUUAAUUUUAAACUCUAUUGAACUUUUUUUAAUGUUCUCGCUUUUCUUUUAAAUGCAUUUCACUUGUGUGUUUUGUAUUCAGGCUGAUUUUAACUUUAUUCUCAAAUAUACAAAAUAAUUUUUGGUAAUUAUCUUGUGUCGAUCUUGACUUGUAGUAUCAAUGUGAAAUAUGUAAUAAUUACUUUUCUAUGAUUCAGAGGGAAAAUUAUUCCAACUAGACUUUUACAAAUAUAUUUCAAGUGGUAAUAUGAUUUUAAAAAAAAUAGGAUUCGCCACAAAAAAAAGUUACUGUUCCUAAUUGACAUGGUGCUGUCAAAAUUAUUUAAUUACAAUUUAGAUCUUCACUCUACAUAUAAUUAAUUAAUUACCAAUUAUUUAAAAGACUAGUAAAUUAUAAUUUUAAUCUCUCUACAACUUUCUAAAUUUAGUUAUGAUUCUCUCAAAAAAAUUUCCCUUAAAUAUUAAUUAUAAUUACCUUUAGACAGAAACAUUUCUAAUUUAAACAAGCAAAAAUAAGAAAAAAAAAUAGAUUACAAAAACUAAAUUUGAAUUUUUUUAUAUAACUCCAAAUAUAUUUUAUCCAUAAAUAAAUUCUAUUAAUAUUUCAUUUCUGUUUAAAUAGUUUAUUCAUAUUUGUAAUAUUAUUUUCAAAAAACAAUAAUUGUUUUUUGAAUAAAGGUUUACAAAUUCUAUAAUAAUGUAAAUGAGAAGAGGAGUGAGGGUAAAAAUAUGAGAACCUAUGUGAGGGAAUCUUGUGACAAUUUAGCUGGUGUUCAACUUGUGAGAAGUCUUUCAACUUGGUUUUCAAGUUUUAUAUUCAAUUUCUGUUCCUUCAAAUGUUUCUGAUUUUACAGCUCCUCAGGAUUUUACAGCUCCAUGCACAAACCUAAUACAAUGAUAUGAUAUUCAAUCAGCAUUAAUUAGCAUAAACAGGUACCUUGUUGUAAAACUGGGAAUAUGAGAUUCCAUAGGAUGGAGAAAAGUAUGAAGAGGAAUUACCAAUCACCAUUUACCAAUCAUAAUGCCUUCACUACAAAUGCAACCCAAAUAUGCUAAAGAAGUUAAUGAAACUAUAUAUGAAGAGUUUCAAGAAGAUGCAACUCUGGGACAACAGAGCAACCCAUCUCAUGCUGAACACAAACAUCAAACUACAUCUAACAAUAAUUCAGAAAUCUUAAUCAACAAUUGAGCGAACCCACUCCUAAAAUGCCAUUGAGAAUGUAAAUAAAUCAAAAUACAUUAAAAACGAGAAAUUCUUAAUAAAAAUUCAACGUGUUGAACCUUGUAAUUUAGAAGUAUUAACGAGAAGCCAGUUUAGAUCCUCACCAAUGAAAGACUAUUUUACAGGUUAGCUUCCACUGGAUUCUUCAAUGUGAACAGCACCACCAUAUUUAUCAUCUUUCUUUUUGGAAUAAAGAGGGCAUAUGCCGCAUUCUUUUAUUGUCACAACUGACCACCCAAAGUCAUAAAGAGGACUGAUCUCAAAAGUGAAGCUGCGAGCAUCACACAGCCUAGGGCUUAGGGAUUCUAAGUUAAAUUUCCAGACGAAUGUGUGAUCUUUAUCAACAAAACUGUAUUCACCAUUCCAUUUGAAAUGUCUGUUUAACCUAUCAUUAUUUGGAAUGAUAUGUGUGCCAUCAUCAUCAGAUUCAAAUUUUAGGCUGUAACCAAAAGAACCAUAUCUACCUUUAACAGAAUUCGUAUCUAACACUCCAAAAACCACACACAAAGCGAAACCAGUGAGCCUAUCAUCGCUGCAGAAACUUAAAUCUUCAUUUAUAGUCACUGAAUGUCCCUUCCCACGAAAAUGGAACCAACCAGGAACUGUACUCCCUGGAAAACAGAAGAACACAGACCUAUAUCUAUCAUCGGUCAUCCUAAGCCUUGCAUCCUCCUCAAUGUUAGCACGACCACCUGAAUCCAGUUGUUGAGCAUUGGUGAAACGAAAUUUGAAGACACCCUCUUUGGAAUUUGACAAGUUUUGAACAAGAGAAUUUGGCAUCACUCUUCUAAUGGAUGGGCAAUCCAAUGCCACGAGUUGUUUUAGAAAUGGUGGAAUCUGUGGGAUGCAUUCAAGCUUUUUGCAGUCGCUUAAAUCAAGCGAUUUCAAGCUUGAAAGAUGAGCAAUGCUCUCAGGAAGGUUCACGAUUCCGCUAUCACGCAGUGACAGUUUCACUAAUGACGUCAAGCGACCGAUGUGUCUUGGGAUUUUUGUUAAUUUGGCACACCCCGAACAAUCAAGUUUAGAGAGUAGCUUCAGACUAACAAUGGAGUUUGGAAGUGACUCGAGAUCAGUGCAUUUGCGGAGCUCCAGGGAUCGAAGAUUAACGAAAUUGGCAAAUGAGGAAGGCAGUACUUUAACAGCCGUAUAUGAUAAGUCAAUGCGAGCAAAAGUAGGAGCCCGCUCCGUGAUAUCUGGGAAGGUACUCAGGCUUGAGCAACCACACAAAUCAAGCUUGCUCAAUUUCAAAUUGAAAAUGCUGCUUGGAAAAGUCUGAAGUGAAUUACAGCGGGUGAGGUGUAACUUGCAUAGUCUGGUGAGGCUUCCAAUGGAAGAUGGAAUAAUCUGAAGAUUGAAGCAACUGCGCAAACUCAGUUCUUCAAGCCCUAUCAAACGGCACAAGGAUGAAGGUAGUGCCUGUAUGGCUGUGGCGUCUAAGAUGAGCACCGCUAGAUCUUCCAACGUGUCCUGAAUCUCGGGUAAAUUUUCCAAUUUUGAGCAACCACGGAGAGAAAGUUGAUUUAUGAAUUUCAUAUCAGAAAGGUCAAUUGGAAAGAUUGUAAGAGAAGAACAGUGAGAGAGAUCUAUGUGAGAGAGCUUCUUGCCACUAAAUUGUAAGGGCACACCUUCGUAGUCUUCUGAGUAUUCUGAGUCUGUAGCAUUAUUAGCAUUUAUCUCUUUCAUCAUAUCCGGUUCCUGACGCUCCAGUAUGACAUGAGGGAGAAAUUUAUCUUCAUGUUCACCCAAUGAAAACAUAUUAAGCUUCUCACAACCGGAAACACUAAUCCAUCCUGGUGAUGUGGAUAAAAUGUUGCUGGGAAUAUUUACACUUUUGAGAUUAGAACAAUGAUCUAAACAUAAACAACUGAGCUUGGUGAGGAAUAUCGAAGAGUGAACUUCAAUCAACUUUGAACAAUAACUCAGCUUUAUUUCUUCAAUAUUCGGUGACAGAGAAAGGUCUGGUAUUCUAGUAAGUUCCCAAGAUUUAACCAGGUCGAGCCUUUUCAAGUUGGGUAAAUUCUGCCAGAAAUAGUAAAUGAAUGAGGUAACAAAUAAAAACUACUUUAUCUAUUUUUCUUCCUAUUUAAACUAUUAGCUACUAUCUAUUGAGUUUAUAUUUUACAUUACUUAAAAACCACUGUUAAAAAAACCACACUGUGGACUAACAAAACUCUGCCUAUAAAUUUUAUAGUUAUUAUAAAAAAUCACAAAAUUUAACGUCUUUUUGUUCCCUACCUAAAAUUACAUCCUAAUCAUUUGAACCUAAACUUAUUAUGUAUUCAAAAACUUAUGAUAGUAAUUUAUAAUCGAUCACAAUGUCAAAAUACUUUAUAUUAUACAUGUAUCAACUCACAAAAUAAAUGGUGUUGUCUCAGAUUUAAAAUUAAACCUUAGUUAAAAAGUCCAUCUUUCCAUAAUUUAUUUUAUUAAAUACAUAAUUUGUAAUUUAUUGUAUAUUAUAUUCAAGUUUAUGUUAUGAUAAAAAAAGUAUCUAAGGCAUUUUUAAUUAAAUAAUAUAAAAUAAACAACAUGAACUCAAUUAAAUAAUAUAAAUUUUUUUGAAUACUCGAUGGAAUAAAAAAAUUAAUAAAACCCUCAAUUUGAAAAUAACCAAAUUUAUAAGAUACUUAAAACUUAAUUAAACCUACAAAUUUUCAUUAUAUGGAAUUAAAUAUUGUAAAGAUUUACCACAUAAGUUUCAUAAGUAGAAGGUUUAAACAUAAAAUUCUUCACGUUGGGAGUUUCUUUCCUCUAUCUUAUAAGUUUUCGUUGUUUCUUUAAUAUUUUUUAUAUGGCUUCUGUCAAUGUAAUUUUUUUUUUGGUUUUAAAAUAUUAUUAAAGAUAAAAUAUGAAGACAGGGUAAUUAAAUUAAAUAUAAUUUUUAUUUUUCAGAAAUGAUGAAAAUUAUAAUUAAAUUAACUAAAUUAUAUAAAAUUCCAUUUUAUUUACAUAACUCAUUUUCAUAUUAAAAAACUAUAUAAGAUCUUCCAAAGUAGAUAUAAUACAUUCACGGGCCAUUAGAUGAUAUGCCUAAAAAAAUAUGCAAACUAUUAAAUUUAUAAUUAUCUUUAAUUAGAAACAUGCUGAGUAUGACUCAAAUAAAAGAAAUUUCAAAUCGAAUAAUGUCGAGAAGGCACAAAGGAAUUGCAAAUGAAAACUUGUAUAUGUAUAAUACAGAAAACAUGCUUGUAUAAUUUAUUUUUAUCUUUGAAAGUUUAGAACACAAAGGAACAUAGAUAGCUUGAAAAACCUGAUCUCCUUCCCAGAGUUGUUCAAGAUGGCAGAAUGGCAUUUCGAGGGUCACUAGAUUUUGUGGGCAAAAGUUUGGAGGCCAAAAUCUUUGAGGGAAAUGUGUCCAAUAAAGAAUCUUUAGAGUGUCUGGCAUAUCCACAAGAGGUGAUUCAAAAGACACUUUUAAUUCCAAUCCCCACGUGUAGAGCCUAAGCACCCUAAGAUUGUUCAUCUUUUCGAAACUUUGUGCAUGUACUACAACUUCUUUUACUUUGAAAGUAGAUAGUGAUAUACACUCUAUUGAAGUAGAUAGUGAUAUACACUCUAUUGCAUCUGACCCCUGAAAGUAAAUCAUGAAAUGUUGCAUUGCAGGAUGUUUGAUGACAGCUCAGUGGUUUGCAAUUUUUCACAAAGUAAAUCCAUUCUCAAUUGAGUAACGACAUAAUACCUUGUUCUUUCUUAAAACCUCUCAAAUUUCCUCAGCAUUAAACAAUCGGCUGCGUUUUCCAGGAUGCUGAGGACACUCUUUACGAACAAUUUCUUUACCCAUUUCUUGUAUUAGAUCGUGCAUCACAAUUCUACCAUGAAAGACAGAUAUUAGGCCCCUAUCUUUGAGAAUAUCCAUUCCAAUCUUGGAAGAGAAACCACAGUCAGCAAGUAUUUCUGCUACCACAAUCUCUUGUGACCUAUAUAAAAGCAAGCUAUGUCAAGAAAUAUAUUCUUCUCCUCCUCCUCGAGCCCAUCAUAACUUAAUUUUAAUACAUUGAAAAUACCAAGAUGUUGGCCCUUUUCCAACUUUUGCAACUGACUCUCCCAUGCUUCUCUUGUUCUUCCAUAAAGCAAUGACCCCAAAAUCUGGAGAGCUAAUGGAAUCCCUUUUGCAUAUCUCAACACCUUUUCUGACAGUUCCCUGUAAGCAAUUUCUUCUGAAGAUUUUUGUUUAAAAGCAAGUAAACUAAAAAGUUUCUGAGAAUCAUCAAAAUUCAACUCCUUAACUUCGUAGAUAUCAUCAGCUCUAGCAUUCUUAAGCACUUGUUUGUCUCUACUGGUGAUAAUGAUUCUACUGCCCUGCCCAAAACUAUCACUCCCUCUUAUUAAUUUUUGAAGUUGAGCUGAAUCGGUAACAUCAGUUAGAAGUGGAACACGUUUGUAGAAGUGGAACACGUUAGUUGGUUAGUUGCCUUAAGAAGCGGAUCAUGUAUUUUUUCUUGAACGUCUAAAACAAGGCUGCUGGAAUCAAACUGCAAUUCCAAUUUGUGAUAUAUUUGAUCACAAAUUGUAGUUUUUCCUAUUCCUCCCAUGCCACAAAUGCCUAUGAUCCGAACAUCCGGUAAGUCAAGAUGCAACAAGGACUGAAUUCCUUCAAUAUUUUUUUCAAUGCCGAUGAUUCCUUGAUCAUAACUGAUGGAAUAACGAUUCAAUUUUCUCAAAAUAUCUCCCACAAUUCCUUCAACAAGUGUGUGUUCUGACCUGGCAGAUGAUUUAGAAAAUAAAGUAUAAGUAUUCAUGCACAAAAGCUAAAACAAAACUAAAGAAAAAUUCAGAGUCAAGAAGAGUGAACAUCAUUGAAUAGAUUCACAUAUUGAUUGUAGGACGUUAUCUUCGAAUAUUAGUGUGGUUGGUUUAGAAAUUGCAAAUCAAGAUCGCAGAAAUUCUACAGUAACCGGUAGUGACUUCUGAUACUAGGAAGCAGUCUUGUAGGUACAAAGUUAAGCUAUAAGAUGUGAUAUGGUUCAGAUCUAUGACCCACUACGAAAAAUGGAAAAAAGAAACACUUGAUUUAUGGUGAGAUGAACACAAUUUUAGUAAAUGAAAAGAGAUCCUGAUUAUCUAAUAAAUAUAAUGACCUGGUGACUUUUGAAUCCCAGCCUGAAAGUCCAGCAGCUUCGGUGAGAGCAUCCUUCCAUCCUUGCACUUUGUCGUGCUUAAAGUGCUGCUCAUGCUCAUCGAAUGCUUCUUUGUAUCUUUCUUCCUGCUUCCUAAUAGUUGACGGAUCCACCUUGUAGAAAACAGGUAUGACAUCCCUUCCAUAUCUCUUCUUGCAAUCAAGUAUCUUAGUGAGUUCAUUCAAGCACCAAGUGGAAGAUGCAUAGUUUUGGGAGAAAACGACGAUAUAAAUCUUCGAUUCUUCUAUUGCAGAGAGCAGUGCAGAUGAAAUUUCUUCGCCCCGGGGUAGUGUCUCAUCAAUAUAUGCUUCUAUGUUCUUCCUUUGCAGUGCUGGAUGAAGGUGGCUAAUGAAGUUGUCACGUGUGUCUUCCCCUCUGAAGCUGAGAAACACAUCAUGCUUUGUUAGAGAAGUGGACACGGGGAAUGAUGAAGAACUUCCUGUUUAAUUUCUUCGCCCCUGUUUAAUCUGUAAUCAAUAUAUGCUUCAAUGUUCUUCCUCUGCAGCGCUGCAUAAAGGUGACUAAUGAAGUUGUCACGUGUGUCUUCCCCUCUGAAGCUGAGAAACACAUCAUGCUUGGUUAGAGAAGCAGACAUGGCCAAUGAUGAAGGGUUUCAAUUUUCUCUGCAACUCUCAGAUCCCUUUGUUUGUAAGCAACUUGCAUAUAUUCUAUUUCUAUCACAAAUCAACUUUUGGAAAAGCCUUCAAUUCAAAAUAUGCUUCACAGCUUUAUAUUAACGUGCCUAGCUUUAUACCAUUCUUACGCAUUGGUAAAGAUUCUUCAAUAUCUUUACUCAAUUUGUUUCUUCAAUACCUUUUACACAUUCUUACGCAUUGGUAAAGAUUCUUCAAUAUCUUUACUCAAUUUGUUUCUUCAAUACCUUUUACAUAUAAAGAAUCGGAUUUGUUUAAUAUAUUUUAGAAAAUAACCAGUAAACAGAAAACUAGGUUAAUAUGACUAAAUGAAUAAAGAUAGUACUCAUAAAAAAUAUUUUAGAUUACAAGUGGUAUAACUAAAAUAAAAUAUUUUAUUUUUAAAAUAAAAUUUAUAAAUAAAUAAAAAAAUAUAAUUGUUUAGUUUUCGGUGUAAAACAAUAUUCAUUUUUAUAAAAAAAAAUCUUUUCUCUUUUAUUUUAUUUUUAUAUUUCUAAUUAGAGUAUUCUUGAGUUUGACAAUAGAAUCCUUUCUUUGGACUUUUGGAAUUAAAUAAAGAUGUUAAUUGAAAAAAAAAAUUGAAAUAGAAACUAAUUUAGAAACCAAAUUUCUUUUUAGUUUCUAAAAUGGUCUCUAAUUUAGUUACUAUUGCAACUAAUUGUUUUGGUUUCUAGAAAUUGGUUUCUAUUUCAUGAUUUUCUUGUAGUGUAUACUGAAGGUGUGCACCCCUAUGAAAUGUUUUUAUUUCUAGUUGAUGUGUGAUUUCCAAUAAUUAUAUAAAUUGAUUGUUAUAUGCAGUGUGAAGUUUAACCUUGAUUUUUACUUGAAAAAAUGGAUUUUAAUAUGAGGUAUGCAUGCUCUCAUACUCAAAUUCAAUAAGCGGAAUUUUCACAUGUCAAUAGAAUUUGAACCUGCAUAGUUUUGGGCACUCUCCACCUCAAAUUCGCUCAAUGUUUUUUCCUGCGUUUAAGCGAAAUUACAUGCAGAUUUUGGAGUACUUUCGGGCUUAAAAUUGCUCAAAGAAAUUUCCCUAUGGCAAGCAAAUUUAAGCUACAAUUGUUUGGGUGUUCUUUGCCUCAAAUUCGUUGCCUCAAAUUCGUUCAGCGAAGAUUUCUCUGGGCUUAAGCCCCAACUUCAUGGGCUCGAGCCAUUUUGACAACAUUUGUCAUCUUUGCUUAGAUAUCUUUUGGUUUGUUUUCUAUAGGUCAUGAAAUUGAAUUAAAUCUUUUGAAAUUUAACAUGUGUUUAAAAUAAGUAAAUCUAACAUUUAUAAUCAUGCAACAUGUGUUUAAUUUAUAAAAAAAAUAUAAAACAAAUACUCAUUAUAUAUUCAAUUGAUAUGUAAAAUUUUAAAUAUUAUGUGAUUAUUGUUGAUAUUUUGUAACGGUUUUAAAAAUAUAAACUUCUAUAUGAUUGAAUGAUAUAUUAUCGAUACAUAGUAAUUUCAAGUAAGGAAAUACUUUGUUAAGGAUAGUUAGGAUGUGUCUUGAUUAGUAAUACAUUUAGAAUAAGAUAUUUGACUCUAUUCACAUAUUAAGGUGGUGACAGUCAAAUGAGAUUUAUAUGAUUUGAUCUACAAUAUAAAAAAUCAUAAUCUAACAUGCCAUAUGAAUUAACCUUGUCAUAUUAGGUGAUUCUAUUAUGAUAUUCUUAUUCGCAUAGAUGUGUGAAUUUCACAAUGGGGUAUUAUAACAUGUGCAAAUUUUUUAGUCUAAAUCAAUGUACGAUUCUUUCAGAAAUAGGGUCAAGUGUACAUGUGGAUCUAAUUAGAUUUUUGACAUGAGUAAUAUGGAACACAAGUCAUUUAGAGACACUUAAUUGUUUAAUAUAUUAGGAAUGAAUGAAGUGUGAUUAUUCAUAUGAUUAUGAUUGAAUGAUUCAAAUAUAAAUUUUAAAAAUCAUUAACUUAGCCUAAUUUCUUGUUAGUAUCAUUUUUUUGUUAGUAUCGUUUUUUUUUUAGAUUUGUUAUGAUCGUGAGUUACAUGUGAACAUAUGAUGUUGUAUGUUAUAGGCCUCAAAAUUGAAAAUGAGAGAGUUUUUUCUUUUAAUUCUUUUGAUGUUUUAUUUUGAUGUAUAUAUUUGAUUAUGAUAUAAUAAUAUUACAAUGUAAAUGUUAUUUAUAUACUAUCACAUGGUAAAUUAAAAUUUAAUAAGGUAGUUAAGGAUGUUAUAAUUAUUCUUUUAAUUUAUUUUAUUUCACUGUAUAUUUAGGUGUAUUACGUAAAAUGUAUAGUUAAAAAAAAUAAUGUUAUUUUGAAAUUUAAGCUUUUGUUAAAAUUAUACCAUUUGAAAAGGAACACAGAACAAUCUUGACAAUUAUACUGACUUAGUACUUAUUUUAAUUUAUUAUAUUCAUGAGUAUUAUUUUUUUCUUAAACAUAAAUAUUGGAUAAAAAAUAUAAAUAACAUUUAUUUAUUUCAAAUUUAAAAAUCUUUAAAAUAAAUAUAAAUAAUAUUUUUAAUCAAGAUGUGUUUUUUAACAAUUUUUUUUAAUUUAAAAAUAAUUAAUUCGGACGAUGAUUAAAGAAAUAUUAACAAAUUAUUUCUGCGAUUAUAAUAAACCUUCAAUAAUUUUUGCACUUUCUAGCAUAUAGAAUAUGGAUCCUUUUGUGAUUUUUCUUUUCUAAAGUACAAUUGAUAUUUUAAAUGUUUUUCUAUUUAAUUUUCCUUUCUUAAUGCACAUAAAAAUUUCAGUGCACAAUUAUUACUCACCUUAAUUCAAAAUGGAAAUUAAAAUUCAAGAACCCUACUUAUAUAUUAAUAUUCAACGAUUUAAAAUAUUAGUAUGCAAAUUAAUCUUUCUUAAUAAUAUUUGUAACAAUUUUUAAUAAUUCAAUGUGAAAUAUGUAAUAAUUACUUUUCUAUGAUUCAGAGGGAAAAUUAUUCCAACUAGACUUUUACAAAUAUAUUUCAAGUGGUAAUAUGAUUUUAAACAAAAAUAGUAUUCUCCACAAAAAUAAAUAGUUACUGUUCCUAAUUAAACAAGUCACAUUCUUGAACAAAAUAUCAAAUAACAAGGAAUUAGACUAUGAAAUGAUGACCAAUUAUAUUAAACAACAUAACAUACAUUUCUCAAUGUACACAAGGUAUAAAUAAUACAAUAUCAUCCAAAACCUGUGUUCACUAUGUAAAUAAACCAUUUUUUUUGCCAUUACCUCUUUCAUGAUGAUGAUUUGUUUACUAGGGAUUGCAAUGAUAGGUCAUGAUCAAAACUUAGGCCUAAGACUAAAAAUAGAAUGAAAUGAGCAUGAAAAUAAAGAUAACUUUUGAGUGAGACACAUUCUUCCUUACAAGCAGCAAGUUCUUCCAGGUUAUCUUCUCUUCCUUCAACCGUAGCUGUGCAACCGCCUGUUGUUCAUUGCCACCAAUAUCUCUAGUGCCAAAACUAUGUUUUCCAAAAUUAGAGUUAUAUGGCUUUAUCUGUGAAGUCUUACCAGCCAUAAUGUUUUAUUUUACUGUUUUGUUGUAAUCAUGCCAAUAGAUAAAUCGUGGAUUUGUAAACCACGAAACACCAUUGAGUAUGCAAAUGGGUUGAAUGUGUUUUUGGAUAUUGCAUUUCAACAUGCUAAUGGUCCUGUAAUUAAGUGUCCAUGUGCAAAGUGUGGUUUCAAAAAGUGACAAACAAGGGAUGUAAUCCAAGAACACUUAACAUUUACAACUUUCCCUCAGAACUACAAAACUUGGUAUUUGCACGGUGAAAGACCAAGUGUAAUUGAGCCUAUGGUCACUACAAGUGUGCAUGUCAUUGAAGAUUUAUUUGAAUCUCAAAAUACAAUGGAAGACAUGUUGAAUGAUGCAUUCGAGUUUGCGGGACAUGAUGAGGAUACUGAAGUUGAUGGUUUGCAAACUAAUAUGGUGGGUGAUGAAGGAAUAUGAACUUUGAUGAAUUGAUGAGGGACAAUAAUGAACCCUUAUAUGAAGGUUGUACAAAGCAUUCGAAGUUAUCAUUCAUGUUGAAGUUGUACCAUAUCAAAUGCAUGAGUAGAAUGAGUGACAAAGCAAUGACCAUGAUUCUAGACUUGCUAAUGAACACAUUUGAACAUGCUAAGUUUCCUAACUUGUUUUAUGAGGCGAAGACUGUGAUUACCAAACUUGGACUUAAUUAUGUCAAAAUACCAGCUUGCCCAAAAGACUGAAUGCUAUAUUGGGGCGAAGACAAUGAAGGCUUAGAAGAAUGUAAACGGUUCAAAACGUCUAAGUGCAAAAAAAAAAAAAGAUAAGAAGCAAUUGCAUUACUUUCCAUUAAAACUGUGAUUGCAAAGAUUGUUUAUGAGUUCUAAGAUGAUUGAGUCUAUGACAAGGCAUGCAUCAAAGGAUAAUCAAGAUGGAUUGAUGAGGCAUCCUAGAGAUUCUGAGGCUUGCAAAUCAUUUUAUUGCAUCCAGAAUUUGUAAAUGACCAUUGAAAUGUACGAUUAGACUUAGCUGCUUAUGGCUUUAAUCCUUAUGAAAACAUGAGUAAAAACCAUAGUAUAUGACGAGUGGUUAUCAUCCCAACAAUCACCCUCCUUGGGAGUUAUGAAGCAAACAUCUUUUAUCCUCUACAUGAUAAUUUCUGGAAAACAAAUGGUAGAAAAUGACAUUGAUGUUUAUUUAAAACCACUUAUAAGCAAAUUGAAGGAGUUAAUAGUAUGAUCAUGUAAUUAUUAUUUAUAUACUAAAUAUUACGACAUAUAGUAAUUUAAAAUUUGAUAAGGUAGAUGAGGAUAUUAAAAUAUCUCUUUUAAUUUAUUUUAUUUUAUUGUAUAUUUAGGUGUAUUAUGUAAAAUAUAUAAUUAAAAAAAAUAAUGUUAUUUUAAAAUUUAAAGAAUCACGUAUAGAAAGAAACAUAUAACAAUCUUGACAAUUAUAUUCUGACUUAGAGAUACUUAUCUUAAUUUAUUAUAUUCAUGAGUAUUAUUUUUUUCUUAAACAUAGAUAUUGGAUAAAAAAUAUUAAUAAUAUUUAUUAUUUAAAUUUUAGAAAUAUUUAAAAUUAAAAUUAAAAUUAAAUAAUAUUUUUAAUUAAAAUAUGAAAAAAAUUCCUUAACAAUUUUUUUAAUUUCAAAAUAAUUAAUUCAGAGGAUGAUUGAAAAAAUAUUAACAAAUCAUUUCUGCGUUUAUAAUAAACCUUCAAUAAUAUUUGUACUUUCUAUCAUAUAGAAUACUUAAUGGAUCCUUUUGUGAUUUUUCUUUUCUAAAGUACAGUUGAUAUUUUAAAUGUUUUUCUAUUUAAUUUUCAUUUCUCAAUGACAAAUAAAAUGGUUCAGUGCACAAUUAAUUAUUCUCACCUUAGAUUUCAUUCAUCUCAUUCCAUUUCCACACUCAAAUCAUUCUCACAUUUUUUUCUACCUAUUUCACAAAGUUUUUGUUAAAAUAUGGAAAUUAAAGUUCAAGAACCCUACUUAUAUUUCAUAUUCAACAAUUUAAAAUAUUAAUAUGCAAAUUAAUAUUUCUUAAUAAUGUUAUUUUUAUGUAAAAAUUAAAAUGUAGUUUAGUCAUUCAUACUUAGAUGGAUAAAAAUGGUUUUAGAAAGAAAAAAAUAUGCAUUUUUUUGAAAGGUUAUCUAAACUCUAAACUCAUUGAUGAAUUAAUAAUAAUAAAUAAUAUGGAAUUCUAUACGAAUAGCAUAUAAAUGUUUUCUUGUUGAAACUGAUAAUUAAUUCAGUCUAGGGACAAUUAUCGCGGUAUUUGUUCUUUUAUUUUUAAUGUUUAAACAAUUAUAAAAUUCUGUUUUUAGAUAUUAAAAUGAUAGUUUUCAUUUACAGAUUAAAAUAUUACUUGUUUCUUUUAAGAUUUUUUGUAUUAUAAUUAUUUGUUGUCUGAAUUGUUUUGAUUUAACAUGUUGUUUUCUUGGGCUAUGAUAUUGUGAGGUUUUAUUACAUGCAGGUACGUGAAUAUUUUUUUUAUCCUAGUUGUAUAAAUCAGGAAAAUUGUUUUUCACAUUAUAAUAACCGUUUAACAACUCUAAAUAAUAAUAAAAUAUUAACUCAUAUUGUUUAAUUAAAGUAUAAAUUAAAUUAUUAAAUAAAAAAGUAGUAAAACUGGUUGCAGGAUGGGAAUAUGAUUAUUUUUAACUGCUAGCUCCUGAUUAUUCUUUUCUAAUAAAAAAAACACCAAUAGCAACAAAACAAGUUUUGACACACGUAGGUUUGGCAAUUGUUUUAAUAGCUGAAAAUAGUACAACAAUUUUUAAUUACCACAAACUGCAUCUUAAAUCAUAAAAAAUUAGCAUUUUGUUAGUUCAUAUAUAAUAAAAUUUCCAUAAAACAGCCAAUUGUAUUAAUUAUUAAUAAUGUAUUUACAAUUUUUUUAGAUAAUUUUUUUACUAUAAAGACAUUUAUUUGAGAUUGAAAUUGUAAUUAACACUUUUUGGUCAAAGAAUAAUAUAUUUCACUUGAUUUUUUGUAUUAAAUAUUUUGUAUAGCGCUGAGACAAAAAAAAAUCUCAUAUAAAUCCCUAUGUGCUACAAGUACAAUAUAACAUCCUUAAUGUAAGCAAUAAAAAUGAUGAAUACUCAAAGUCGUGUAAUUACGCAAAAGAAUCAAGUGAUUUUUAAAAGAACUCACAUGAUCAGUUUAAAUUUUGACGAUAAAAUACAUUAAUUAUAUAUAUUUAUUCAAAAUUUCAAUUAUAUUAUGCAUUAAUGGUUUUAUGCUUUUAGAGGAAUCAGAGAAACUUAGAAAAGCUCCUAAAAACUAAUGUAACCCUAUGAAUAGAAGAGAGCUAAAAGAAAGAGAAAAUGGAAGUGAGAAAAGAUGAUAAUUAAUAAACACGCUCUCUUCAUAACAUAGAGUCUUUAAACCUAUAUUCCCUCAAACAAUUAUAAAGAAUUAACAAUCACACUUUUAUAAGUCAUCACCCACAUGAAACAAAACAAGGUGCCUCAAUAUGAAUAAACCAAGAUUAAUAAGAAAUAUGAGGUUUCACUAACCAAGCUCAGAAUUUUCUGCUUUUAUAGCUCCAUGCACAAACCUAAUACAAUGAUAUGAUAUUCACUGCAAAUGCAACCCAAAUAUGCUAAAGAAGUUAAUGAAACCCAAAUAUAAAGAAUUUGAAGAGAAUGCAACUCUGGGACAACAGAGCACACCAUCUCAUGCUGAACAGAAACAUCAAACUAUAUCUAACAAUAACUAUACCUAUGUUUGCUUUGGGUCUGUUUUUAGUUUCAAUGUUACUCUUUAUCUGCAGGUUGGGAACAUAUCUUGAUGAAAUAUAGAAACAUUUUUAUUCAUAAUAUAUAUAAGGAUUACACAUUCAUAAUUAUUUCUUUCUGUCGUAGCAUUGUCUACCUCAAAUCACUGCAACUUUCUGUUGUUGGUAUUUGCAUAUCACGAUGGUUAUUGAGAAAUUUAGGAGUUUGCUGUUGUGUACCAGAAGUAAAAUAGAAGGUUCAUUUUUUGGUCAUCAUCAAUUAUUAAUGUAAAUAGAUAUAGGUGAAGGAGAUCAGUAUUAUGCAUUGUAUCAUGGACCAUUAGAAGACUAGGGUCACCAAUUGGAGGCAUUGGUAACUUUGGCUAGUAAAACUAAAACCAAAGUCCAUUUUUACAAAGCCUUGGUCUAAUUCACCUUAUAGCUGUACUUUUUCCUCCAUUUUAAUAAUAUUAAGUUUUCAUUUUCUAUGCAUAAUCUUGGGUAAUUUUCUUUUUAUAUCAAUGCUUGAAGUGUCAAAUUGUUACAAGCUGGAUUAUUAAGAAAGAAAAGAGUGCAUUCUGGAUGCUCGAAAGGGAGUGUUUCCUAGAAAAAAAAUGUGAUUUCAGGGUGUCCAGGCUCAGGUAGCAAUGGUAGGAGUUCCACAUUGAAAUGGAUGAACUACUUGAUUUAGUACUUUGGGACUCUCUCACCUAAUGGACUAGUAUUUUGGGUUAGCUUCUCUCCCCUUAAUGCUUAAGUCCUAAAAAACAGUUUUUCUGUUUCUAUUUAUCUUUUAGGGUGUGAUUAGGACCAUGAAGCAGUGGGUGUUUUUUCCAUUAAUGAACUUUGCCACUGCCACAGAUCACCUAGGUUAACCUAAUUAAGUCUUCUGAAUUGUAUUUUGUAAUUAAUUCUUGUAAAACAUGGAGUGUAAAAUUCAUGUACAUUUUUCUUUUCCUCUUUUGAUUUGGAUGUCAAACUAGCAACUUCAUGUUUUGUCUGGUUGGUCUAUCACAUUUAUGUAGGUUGUAAUCUAUUUUGCCUAAUGCAUCAGUUGCAGAUAGGUACUAAAUUAUCUUAGUUCGGAUACACCUUGCCAAUUAGAUUAAGAUCAAGAAUUUAAAGUGAAUGGUUCACUUCUGAGUUCUUAAAUGAGAUAAAAUGUUCAGAGAUACUAAAUCAUCGCCUUCAUUUGAAAAUUGGCGUGCCUAUUAUGCUUUUGAGAAAUAUUGAUCAAACCAACGGUCUUUGUAAUGGAACAAGGUUGCAAGUUAUUGAUUUGAAGAAAAUGUUAUUUGUGCAAUAGUUCUAACAGGAACAAAUAUUGGUGAUAAAAUCUUCAUUUCAAGAAUGAAUUUGAUCCCUUUAGAUGUAGGUAUGCCAUUCAAAUUCCAGAGAAGACAAUUUCCAAUAGCUUUAUGUUUUGCAAUGACAAUUAAGAAAAGCCAAGGUCAAUUAUUGACCAAAGUUGGUUUAUAUUUUUCACAUCCAAUUUUCACACAUCGAUAGUUGUAUGUAGCUAUUUAUAGAGUUCGAAAGAAAAAAGAUUUAAAAAUUCUAACUCUUGAUGAAGAUGGAAUGCAACAAACAAGAAAAAGAAAAUGUUUACACUGAAAUUUUUGACAAUAUUUGAAAACAAUAGAAUUAUAUGAUAAACUUGGAAUGGCUAAUUCUCCCUGCAACCAAUAUUUUUGAACCUGCAACUUUUAAAUUUUUGAAAAUGCUCUUUAUUCCAGAAAUGAAAAUAAUACAUUACAAAAAAAAUAGAUCCAAAAAAGAUUAUUGUGUUUUGGUAAUAAAAAUCGGAAAACAAAAAUCAAAAGCCCAUUAUGAAUAAGAAAAUUCGUAAUACAAAAAAUUUGGUCUUAAAAACAAAAUCUGAAAACAUAUUCCAGAAAGAAAAUCCGAAAUGUAUUUUUAUAUAUAACCCAUUUUUUCAAGGGAGUUUCGUCUUUUCUAUUGUAAAAGGGGUUGGAAUUUGCUCCCUUGGAAUUAUAGUUUCUUAUGUGUGAUGUAGUAACAGUUGCCUUAUUUAAAAUGUUACUAAAUAACAUAUAAUUUAUAUCUGUUAUUUUUAUUCUGUUAUGACUUUAUAUAUUUGUCACAACAUGAAUGAGGCACAAACCCAUCUCAUGUUAACGAAGUUGAGAAUUUUCUGAUUUUACAGGUCCAUGCAAAAAUCUAAUAUAAUGAUAUGAUAUUCAAUAUCAAGAGGUACUUGUCGUAAAACGGGGAAUAUGAGAGACUCCAUAGAAUGAAGAAAAAGUAUAAAGAGGAUUUACAAAUUAACCUUUCAAAUGCAGCUCCUCAGAAUUUCAUAAUGCCUUCACUGCAAAUGCAACCCAAAUAUGCUAAAGAAGUUAAUCAAACAAUACAUGAGGAGUUUCAAGAAAAUGCAACUCUGGAACAACAGAGCAACCCAUCUCAUGCUGAACAGAAACAUCAAACUAUAUCUAACUUAGAAAUCUUUGUCAACAAUUGAACGAACCCACUCCUUAAAUACCAUUGAAAAUGUAAAUAAAACAAAAUAAAUUAAAAACGAGAAAUUCAUAAUAAAAAUUAAACGUGUUGAACCCUGUAAUUUAGAAGUAUUAACGAUAAGGCAGUUUAGAUCCUCACCAAUGAAAGAGACUAGCUGACUAGGUAGCUUUCGGCCUUCCUCUUCCUAUCUUCCCUUGUUUCUCUUGAAGACUCUGCAAUAUUGCUUCCAUUGGAUUGUUCAAAGUCAACAGCACCACCAUAUUUAUCAUCUUUCUUUUUCGUAUAAAGAGGGCAUAUGCCGCAUUCCUUUAUUGUGAUACCUGAUUUCAACCGAAAGUGAUAAUCACACGGACUGAUAAGUGAAGCUGCGAGCAUCACAGAUUCUAAGGCUCAUGCCGCUCGCCCUUAGGAACUCCAAGUUAAAUUUCCACACGAAUGUGUGAUCUUGAUCAACACAUCUCUCUUCACCAUUCGAAAUAGCUGUUUAACACAUCUAUCAUCGCUGCAGAAACUUAAAUCUUCAUUUAUAGUCACUGAAUGUCCCUUCCCACGAAAAUGGAACCAACCAGGAACUGCAGUCCCUGGAAAACAGAAGAACACAGACCUAUAUCUAUCGUCGGUCAUCCUAAGCCUUGCAUCCUCCUCAAUGUUAGCACGACCACCUGAAUCCAGUUGCUGAGCAUUGGUGAAAUGAAAUUUGAAUACACCCUCUUUGGAAUUUGAGAGGUUUCGAACAAGAGAAUUUGGCAUCACUCUUCUAAUGGAUGGGCAAUCCAAUGCCACGAGUUGCUUUAGAAAUGGUGGAAUCUGUGGGAUGCAUUCAAGCUUUUUGCAGUCGCUUAAAUCAAGCGAUUUCAAGCUUGAAAGAUGAGCAAUGCUCUCAGGAAGGUUCACGAUUCCGCUAUCACGCAGUGAUAGUUCCAUUAAUAACGUCAAACGACCAAUGUGUCUUGGGAUUUCUGUUAAUUUGGAGCACCCCGAACAAUUUAGAGAGAAGCUUCAGAUUAACAAUGGAGUUUGAAAGUGACUCGAUAUCAGUGUAUUUCUGAAGCUCCAAGGAUCGAAGAUUAACGAAAUUGCAAAAUGAGGAAGGCAACUGCGCAAACUCAGUUGUUGAAGCCCUACCAAACGGCACAAGGAUGAAGGUAGUGCCUGUAUGGCUGUGGCGUCUAAGAUGAGCACCGCUAGAUCUUCCAACGUGUCCUGAAUCUGGGGUAAAUUUUCCAAUUUUGAGCAACCACGGAGAGAAAGUUGCUUUAGGAAUUUCAUAUCAGAAAGGUCAAAUGGAAAGAUUGUAAGGGAAGAACAGUAAGAGAGAUCUAAAUGACAGAGCUUCUUGCAACUAAAGUGUAAGGGCACACCUUUCAUGAAUUUUGUCAACACUUCUAAGUAUAUAGUAUUAUUAGCCACUUCUUCUUCUUCAUUAUAUCUGUCAAAAGUAAUUGAGGAAGUUGGGAAAAUAUGACCACUGUAUGCACGAGGUUCACCACGCCGUCCUGCACCAUGCCGUUCUGAGAAAUUUAUCUCUUUGAUCAUAUCCGGUUUCUGGCGAUGGAAUCUUGAGAAAGUUUGACGUUGACGCUCCACGCUCCAGUAUCACAUGAGGGAAUCUUGAGAAAUUUCCACGUUGAUGCCCCAGUUUCUGAUGUGGGUAUCUUGUGACGCUCCAGUUUCACAUGACGAAAUCUGGGUUCACUGGUUGAAAACAUAUUAAGCUUCCCACAACAGGAAAUAUUAAUCCAUCCUUGUAAUGUGGAUAAAAUGUUGCUGGGAAUAUUUAUACUAUUCAGAUCAUAACAAUUAUCUAAACAUAAAUAACUGAGCUUGCUGAGUAAUAUCGAAGAGUGAACUUUAAUCAACUUUCCACAAUAACUCAGAAUUAUUUCUUCAAUAUUUGGUAAGAGAGAAAAGUCUGGUAUUCUAGUAAGUUUCCGAGAACCACUCAGGUCAAGCCUUUUCAAGUUUGGUAAAUUCUGCCACAAAUAGUAAAUGAAUCAGGUAACAAAUAAAAACCACUGUUAAAAAAAUCACACUCUGAACUAACAAAACUGUGGCUAUUCACUAUCAACAAUCCCUCUCAAAUACACUUCUACUAAUACAUUAACAACAAUAUCAUUAUAUUAACCAUAAAAUAUUACAUUUCUUCAGUUAAUACGUAGGACAAUAUAAUAAUCAGGUCACUCAGCUAAUGAAAAAAAUUAAACAACAUGAACUCAAUUAAAUAAUAUAAAACUUUUGAGUACUAGAUAAAAUAAGAAAAUUAAUAAAAAUUCAAUUUGAAAAUAAUCAAAUUUAUAAGAUACUUAAAACUUAAUUAAACCUACAAAUUUUCAUUAUAUGGAGUUAAAUACUAUAAAUAUUUACCACAUAAGUAGAAUGUUUAAAUAUAUAUUUCUUCACGUUGGAAGUUUUUUUCCUCUAUCUUAUAAGUUUUCUUUGUUUCUUUAAUAUUUUUUAAGCCAAUGUGAUUUUUUUAAUAUAAAAUAUUAUUAAAGAUAAAAUAUGAAGAUAGGGUAAUUAAAUAUAAUUUUUUAUUUUUUAGAAAUGAUGAAAAUUAUAAUUAAAUUAACUAAAUUAUAUAAAAUUCUAUUUCAUUUACAUAACUACUUUUCAUAUUAAAAAAACUAUAUAAGAUCUUGAAACUAUAAUUAAUAUUUCUACUCAUUUUUCGUUUUUGUUGGUGAAAUCUUGAUUUUGGGAUAGUAUUAGUGAGAUAUUGUUUGGAGUUAAAAACAAGAAAUUCUUUUGCAUAAUCAAUUUGAACAGUUUUGAUUUUGAAACCAGAUUUUCAGAGAAGAGUUUAAAGCGUUCAAAUGCAGCAAGAGCUUGAGAUUUAGCAUGCUAGAGAUAAAUUCAUGUAUAUUUUAAAUAUGCAUUAGGAAAAGAGAUAUCGUAUGAUGCAACAUUAUUAGCACAAACAACAAACAGCAGAACGUCCCCAAAUAUCAAUAUAGAUAAAUUCUAAAAGGUGAUUAUCCACACUGUUUUAGAACAACUUUGAUUACAGAAAAACUAUAACGCCCAAGUCUAUUAUGCCACAAGUGAAAAGAAGUUUUUUCAUAUUUAAAAGAUGUGUAGUUAGCAGAAAAAACAGAGGAUCAGAGAUCAAGAAAGACAGAGAGAUCAUCUUUAAGUGUGCCUUGUAGAAGAAUCUGUUUAGUUACUUAGUCUUUAACAUAGCAAGAAUGAGGGUGAAAUUCAAAAAACACAUUGUUGUUACGAGCAAACUUUGAAACACUAAGCAAAUUCUUAGUAUAAUGAGAAACAUGUAAAAGAUCAAGGAGAGAGAAGGAAGUACAAGAGGUAGACGACACACAGGAAGCAGAACCAAUGUGGGAGAUUUUUAUACCUGCACCAUUACCAAGUUUAACGUUCGCAAUGCCAUGAUAGAUUUGUUGAUCAUUGAACAGAGUAUGGUCGUUUGUUAUAUGGUGAGAGACACCGCUAUCUGGGUACCAUAAUGGAUCUUCUAAAGAUGAUGGUGGACCAAGAAGAGAGUAAGAAGAGUCAUCACGUGGAGGUGGAGAGAAAUGAGAUGUGUUUGCAGAGGAGGAUGGUGGUGUAGUACGAUCAAACCAGUGCCAACAAUGAAGAGCAGUGUGUCCAAGUUUGGAGCAUAUUUGACAGCGAACAGGGUUGCGUUUCCAUGAUGAAGACGUAGUGGAGUUCCAAGAAGAGUAUUGGGAAGGUCGGGGUUUGCCGCGGUUGAACUGAUUCUAGUUAGAUGUGGGAUUGUAACCACGACCACCACAGGAGGAGUUGGAAAAGGGGAGGUGGAGAGAAAUGAGAUGUGUUUGCAGAGGAGGAUGGUGGUGUAGUACGAUCAAACCAGUGCCAACAACAAUGAAGAGCAGUGUGUCCAAGUUUGGAGCAUAUUUGAGAGCGAACAGGGUUGCGUUUCCAUGAUUACGACAGUAAUAAAUGUAUUAUAUUCUUCAGAUAGCCUUCAAGGAUGAUGUCAAUAUGAUCAGUGGAAACAGGGGCAUCAAUAGCGGCAAGCAUGUUGACGGCGUUCUUGAUAUCAUGGAGAUAGGAGGAGAUGGAUCUGUGAUGACCUGAUUUUGUUGUUGGUACCAUUAGAGACUUGGGGACUGUCAUCAGUGGUGGAAGAAGUGGUUCUUGAUGGAACACUAGUGUCGUCAAGAAAAUGACCCAGUUUGAGCCCGCAAAUGGAGGCAAGGACUUGAUGUUUCCAGAGAAGAUAGUUAUCUUCAUCUAGUUUAAGAGUGAUGGGUGUUGUGAACUGUUGAACGGAAGGCAUGACCAGAGGUAACGGGCAAGAAGAAGAUGCAAAAGAAGAUGAAGAGAUAUGAGUGCAGUGCAUUAGAAUAGAGAGAGAAAGGAGAAAGAUAUUAUCUUAGUAUAUGUGCUAAAGGUAUAUAAGGAGUGCAGAACUGGAAACACUUACAAAGUUGUCGUUACACAGUUAUAGUAUGGUUAACAAUGUAUAAUACAGAAAACAUGCUUGUGUACUUUAUUUUUAUCUUUGAAAGUUUAGAACACAGAGGAACAUAGAUAGCUAGAAAAACCUGAUCUCCUUCCCAGAGUUGUUCAAGAUGGCAGCCUGGCAUUUCCAGGGUCACAGUCUGGCAUUUCCAGGGUCACUAGAUUUUGUGGGCAAAAGUUUGGAGGCCAGAAUCUUUGAGGGAAACCGUUCCAAUAAAGAAACUUUAGAGUGUCUGGCAGACCUACAAGAGAUGAUUCAAGAGACACAUUUGAUAUGAAUAUAGGCAUGUAGACCAUAAGCAUCAUAAGAUUGUCCAUCUUUUCGAAACUUUGUGCAUGUACUACAGCAUCUUUUACUUUGUUCGUAUGUAGUAAUAUACACUGUAUUGCAUCUGACCCCUGAAAGUAAAUCAAUUUAAUUAGGAGAAAAAAAACAUGAAAUGUUGCAUUGCAGGAUGUUUAAUGACAUCUCAGUGGUUUGCAAUUUUUUACAAAGUAAAUCCAUUCUCAAUUGAGUAACGACAUAAUACCUUGUUCUUUCUUAAAACCUCUCAAAUUUCCUCAGCAUUAAACAAUCGGCUGCGUUUUCCAGGAUGCUGAGGACACUCUUUACGAACAAUUUCUUGACUCAUUUCUNNNNNNNNNNNNNNNNNNNNNNNNNNNNNNNNNNNNNNNNNNNNNNNNNNNNNNNNNNNNNNNNNNNNNNNNNNNNNNNNNNNNNNNNNNNNNNNNNNNNGAUCCAUCUUUUUCUGCUGCUACCAUGUCGAACUCCCUUCAAAUCAAUACAAUGUCUUCACCAUCAAUCAGCCAAGUGAUUAAUGUUAAACUCACACAAGAAAAUUAUUUAUUGUGGUCUGCUCAAAUCCUUCCCUAUUUACGUAGUCAGGGGCUGGUUGGGUUUGUGGAUGGAUCCAUGCCACCACCAAACCAAACGAUUACGGUUGAGUCAAGUGAAGAAACAGGGAGCCGCAAAAUCCUGAAUUCACAGUCUGGUACCCCCAGGACCAGCUGGUACUCAGUCUCAUCAACUCAUCGGUUACCGAGGAAGUUCUCAGCACGGUGGUCGGAAUCACCACUGCACGAGAAGCCUGGGAUAUGCUGGAGCGGCAAUUUGCCUCCACAUCUCGAGCACGAGCAAUGCAGAAUCAUAUGGAACUCUCCACGAUCCAAAAGAAGGACAUGACAAUUGCUGACUAUUUUCGUAAAGUAAAACGUCUCGGAGACACUCUGGCUGCCAUUGGCAAGCGAGUAGAGGAUGAAGAACUCAUCGCCUACAUGCUGCAAGGACUUGGUCUAGAUUAUGAUCCUCUUGUCACAAGCAUUACAACUAGAACAGAUGUUUACACUGUCAGCGAUGUGUAUGCUCAUAUGCUGAGCUACGAGAUGCGUCAUCUGCGUAAUGGUACUCUUGAGCAAUUUCCUUUUGCUAACAAUGUCAACAGCAUGUCUAAUCGAGGAGGAACUAAUGGACGUCGUGGUGGUCGUGGUCGUCAAUCAAAUGGUGGUCGAGGACAAACAUGGCACACUAGAAACAAUUCUGGACGUCAGCCAUCAAAGGCACAAAGUAACUCAGACAAAGUCUGUCAGAUUUGUGGUAAGCCAAACCAUGAUGCUUUGCAAUGUUGGCACAGAUUUGAUCAGGCAUAUUAAGCCGAAGACAAUCUUAAACAAGCAGUUGUGGCCACAAGUGGAUAUACUGGUGAUGCAAACUGGUACGUAGAUACUGGAGCCACAGAUCACAUCACCAACGAGUUAGAAAGACUUACCACCAACGAACAUUACAAUGGCACUGAUCAGAUUCAAGUUGCAAAUGGCUCAGGUUUUUCUAUCUCUCAUAUUGGGAACUCAUUAAUUUCUGGUUCAUCUAGAUCUCUUGUACUGAAACAUAUCCUAUAUGCUCCUAAAAUCAAUAAACAUCUGAUUUCAGUACAAAGACUAGCAUCUGAUAAUAAUGCCUUUGUGGAAUUUCACCCACACUGUUUUUUUGUUAAGGACCGAGCCACGAAGGAACUUCUGCUCACAAGUAGAUGUAAGAAUGGCCUCUACACUUUACCAAAUAACUCCAGCAAAGCAUUCCCGACAGCCAAACUUUCGAAAGAACAAUGGCAUAGAAGACUUGGGCAUCCUGCUUUCCCAGUCACAAUUAGAAUCUUGAAAAAUAAUAACUUAGCUCUAGAUACUAGAGUUUCUUCUUCCUUAAUUUGCCAUGCUUGUCAACUAGAAAAGCACAUCAAUUACCCUUUGUUUCUUCUCAACAUGUAUCUACAGCACCUCUUCAAUUGAUUCAUACUGAUGUAUGGGGUCCAGCCAUUGUCUUAGUGAAUAAUUCUAAAUAUUAUGUUUCAUUUGUUGAUGAUUUUAGCAGAUAUGUUUGGAUUUAUUUUUUGAAAUACAAGUCUGAUGUUGAGUCUGUGUUUCAUCAGUUUCAAAAACAUGUUGAAACCAUGCUAAACACCAAAAUUCGCUCUGUCCAGUCAGAUUGGGGGGGUGAAUACCAUCGUUUGCACCAAUAUUUCAAAACAACUGGAAUUGAGCAUCGUCUUUCUUGUCCUCACACACAUCAGCAAAAUGGGUUGGUAGAAAGAAAGCACAGACACAUUGUGGAAACUGGCCUUACUUUACUUGCCCAAGCUAACAUGCCUUUGUCCUAUUAGGAUGAAGCCUUCAAUACAGCUUGUUACCUUAUAAAUAGACUACCAUCUCGAAUCAUACAAGCAAGACACACCACUUCAUAAAUUAUUUGCAAAAAAUCCAGAUUACACCAUGCUUAAGGUGUUUGGCUGUGCUUGCUGGCCCAAUUUAAGGCCUUACAACACCAAGAAACUGAGUUUUCGAACCACUAAGUGUGUCUUCUUAGGCUAUAGUUCUUCUCAUAAGGGAUACAAGUGCUUAGAUAGAAGUACAAAACGAAUUUACAUCUCUAGAGAUGUAAUCUUUGAUGAAAAUGUGUUUCCUUUUGAAGAAUUAAAUUCUAAGUCAUCAAUCCAAACCAAAAAUUCACACCAGCCUGCUCUACUUCCAACCUUCGUUAAACCCGUUCCAUACACUGAAAAUGCUCUCACAAAUAUUGAACCAGUUGUUAAUGAUUCUCGUAUAAUUGAUGGUCAAUCUAAUGAUGUUGCUAAUAACAACUUGUCUGGUAUAAGCUUACAUCCUGCAGAUAAUACAAUAAGUCCAGAAAUUGUUGCAGAACAGGAAGCUGAGAACAGUCUGACCAAUUUCCAAGAACAGAUGUUCNNNNNNNNNNNNNNNNNNNNNNNNNNNNNNNNNNNNNNNNNNNNNNNNNNNNNNNNNNNNNNNNNNNNNNNNNNNNNNNNNNNNNNNNNNNNNNNNNNNNGAACAAGAUUGAAAAAUAACAUUGUCCAAGCAAAACAGUUCACUGAUGGUACUGUCAGAUAUUCAGAGACCUCAAGAAAGUUUACCGGUGCUGUCACUGUCAAAAAUCCGACCACAAUAAAUGUACUAAAAAAUGCUACUGAGACUGAUACAGUUACUGAACCUCAAAACCUGCAGGAAGCUCUACAAAGUCCAGGUUGGCAGGAAGCAAUGAAUAAUGAGCUCUCAGCAUUACAACACAAUGAGACUUGGGAUUUCGUUCCACCAAAACCUGGCAUAAAUCUCAUUGAUAGUCGAUGGGUGUAUAAAGUGAAAAGGAAAGCGGAUGAAUCAGUGGAGAGAUUGAAAGCAAGGUUGGUUGCUAAAGGGUUCAAGCAAAGAUUUGGCAUUGAUUACAUUGAUACCUUUAGCCCCGUGGUCAAGCCAUCAACAAUCAAAGUUAUUCUUUCACUAGCAGUAACCAAAGGCUGGAAUAUGAGACAAGUUGAUAUCCAAAAUGCAUUCUUGCAUGGAAUUUUGGAAGAGGAAGUGUACAUGCGACAACCAUCGGGAUUUCAAGACCCAUAUAAACCAAAGGAAUACAUAUGCAAACUCAAGAAAGCGCUUUAUGGCCUGAAACAGGCUCCAAAGGCUUGGCACUCAAGACUGACUGGAAAACUUAUGGAAUUAGGCUUUAGAGCUUCUGUAGCUGAUUCAUCUUUGUUUAUCCUCAAAAACAAAGAGGUAACCAUCUAUAUGCUCAUAUACGUUGAUGAUAUAAUUAUCGUGAGCUCCUCUGAUCAAGCCACCGAAAGGUUGAUUCAGAAGUUGAAAAUAGAUUUUGCUAUAAAAGACUUAGGUGGUCUUGAGUAUUUUCUGGGUAUUGAAGUCAAGAAGGCAAGAGAUGGCAUCACANNNNNNNNNNNNNNNNNNNNNNNNNNNNNNNNNNNNNNNNNNNNNNNNNNNNNNNNNNNNNNNNNNNNNNNNNNNNNNNNNNNNNNNNNNNNNNNNNNNNAAAUUAUUCAAAGAGCAGGGAACACUCUUGUCAAUUGAAGAACAAUUUAAAUACAGAAGUACUGUGGGAGCAUUGCAAUACUUGACAAUGACCAGGCCUGAUUUGGCAUUUGCUGUCAACAAGGUUUGCCAAUACCUUCAUACGCCUACUGAUGCUCAUUGGAGUGUUGUAAAGAGAAUCCUUCGUUAUGUCAAGGGCACAUUAGAUUUGGGAAUCAGAAUUCAGAAGUCUCCAACAAUGCUGCUGUCCGGAUUUUCUGAUGCUGAUUGGGCUGGUUGUCCUGAUGAUCGACGUUCAACUAGCGGCUUUGCUGUAUUUCUUGGAGCAAAUCUAAUUUCUUGGAGCUCUAGAAAACAAACCACAGUGUCCAGAUCGAGCACCGAAGCAGAAUACAAGGCCAUUGCGAAUCUGACAGCAGAAAUGAUUUGGAUAAAAUCAUUAUUGAAAGAGCUUGGUGUGUAUCAAUCAAAAGCUCCUCGACUCUGGUGUGACAAUCUAGGAGCUACAUACUUAACUUCAAAUCCAGUGUUUCAUGCAAGAACAAAACAUAUUGAAGUUGACUUCCAUUUUGUUCGAGAACAAGUGGCACGCAAAGCAAUGGAAGUUCAGUUUAUUUCAUCAAGUGAUCAAGUGGCUGAUAUCCUAACAAAACCACUGUCUAGAACUCUCUUUAUUACACAUUGUAACAAUCUCAACAUGUAUAAAACCUGUUGGGAUUGAAGGGGACUGUUAGAAUUAGUCAGUUAGAAGUGGAACACGUUUGUAGAAGUGGAACACGUUAGUUGGUUAGUUGCCUUAAGAAGCGGAUCAUGGAUCCAACCGUGUAUGCAAUCAGUUACCUUUCUUUAAUUAUAAAUACAAUACGUCCUCCACAUAGAGAGGUACAGUUAGCAAACUUUAUUAGAGCUGAAUCGGUAACAUCAUCAAGAAUGAGGAGAACCUUUGUCCGUUUGAGCCUUUCAUUGUAAUAUGGUGAAGAAGAGGAUUUCUCUUCCUUUAGAAGCUCAGACUGAUAUUUUGUUCUGAUACUGUCUAUUCCAUCUCUUUGUAUUUUUUCUUGAACGUCUAAAACAAGGCUGCUGGAAUCAAACUGCAAUGCCAAUUUGUGAUAUAUUUGAUUACAAAUUGUAGUUUUUCCUAUUCCUCCCAUGCCACAAAUUCCUAUGAUCCGAACAUCCGGUGACUCAAGAUGCAACAAGGACUGAAUUCCUUCAAUAUGUUUUUCAAUGCCGAUGAUUCCUUGAUCAUAACUGAUGGAAUAACGAUUCAAUUUUUUCAACAAGUGUGUGUUCUGUGCUGGCAGAUGAUUUAGAAAAUAAUGUAUAAGUAUUCAAGCACAAAAGCUAAACUAAAGAAAAAUUCUACAGCAUCCGUUUGUGACUUCUGAUACUAGGGAGAAGACUUGUAGGUACAAAGUUAAGCUAUAACAUGUAAUAUGGUUCAGAUCUAAGACCGACUAAUAGAAAUGAAAAAAGAAGCACUUGAUUUAGGGUGAGAUGAACACAAUUUUAGUAAAUGAAAAGAGAUCCUGAUUAUCUGGAAAGUGCGUGACCUGGUGACUUUUGAAUCCCAGCCUGCAAGUUCAGCAGCUUCGGUGAGAGCAUCCUUCCAUCCUUGCACUUUAUCGUGCUUAAAGUGCUGCUCAUGCUUUUCGAAUGCUUCUUUGUAUCUUUGUUCCUGCUUCCUAAUAGUUGAUGGAUCCACCUUGUAGAAAACAGGUAUGACAUCCCUUCCAAAUCUCUUCUUGCAUUCAAGUAUCUUAGUGAGUUCAUUCAAGCACCAAGUGGAAGAUGCAUAGUCUUGGGAGAAAACGAUGACAUAAAUCUUUGAAAAAUAAGUAUGAAAUCUAGAUAUAUAUCAUUAUCACGUGUGGAAGCUACGUCGUCUUGUAUUGGAUUUUCUAAUCUGCCUUUUAUCUUGUCUCAUUCUUCUUUAUCUUUUUUCUCUCAUCUCUCUUGCUUACGAUUUCUUUGCCUUUAUUCAGAAAUUUUAGUUAUAAUAAACCUUCAAUAAUAUUUGUACUUUCUAGCAUAUAGAAUACUUAAUGGAUCCUUUUCUGAUUUUUCUUUUCUAAAGUUCAAUUGAUUUUUUAAAUGUUUUUCUAUUUAAUUUUCCUUUCUUAAUGACACAUAAAAUGGUUCAGUGCACAAUUAAUUAUUCUCACCUUAGAUUUCAUUCAUCUCAUUCCAUUUCCACACUCAAAUCAUUCUCACAUUUGUUUCUACCUGUUUCACAAAGUUUUAGUUAAAAUAUGGAAAUUAAUGUUCAAGAACCCUACUUAAUAUUAAUAUUCAACAAUUUAAAAUAUUAAAAUGCAAAUUAAUCUUUCUUAAUAAUGUCAUUUUUAUGUAAAAAAUAAAAUGUAGUUUAGUCAUUUAUACUUAGAUGGAUAAAGAUGAUUUUAGAAAAAAAAAAUGCAUUUUAUUUCAAAGGUUAACUAAACUCUGAACUCAUUUAUGAAUUAAUAAUAAUAAAUAAUAUGUAAUUGUAUUCCAAUACCAUAUAAAUUUUUUUUAUUGGGUGCGUUUCUGAUGAAUUAAUGCACUCUAGGGACAAUGAUCGCUCUAGUAUUUGAUUUUUUAUUUAUUUUAAUGUUAAAAUUAUAGCUAUGUAGUACAGAUAUUACUGACACAGACAGACACGAACACGGACACAGAAAUACAUAAAAUCUCUAAAAUGUAGAAUACGGAGACAUUAAUCUAUAUAUUAUAUAAUUAUGAAUCAUAUAAAUUAACAAUAAAGAUUUAUGUGCACAAGUAUUUUUGAGAUUAUUUUUUAGAACAGAAAUAUGUUUUUCAUGACUAGUUCACAAAUAUUUGUUUCUUAUUCUUAUAAUCAUAAUAACAAUUUAUACCAUAAAGUUUCAAUUUUAGAAAAUUAAUGUAUUUUUUCUUUUUAAAAUUUCGUUAGAACUGUACUAGAAUUGUAAAAAAUCUAACAAAUACAUUUUGAAUUGGACAUUCCACGAAUACGUGUCCUACCAGUAUUUUGAACAACAUUCUUUCUUUUGGAACAAAGAGGGCAUAUGCCGCAGUCUUUUACUGUGAUAACUCAUUUCAACUCUCACACAACUGAUUCGUAAUCUGUGGGAUGCAUUAAAGCCUUUUGCAGUUAAAUCAAUAGUAUAUGAUGAUGUGAAUGUUAUUUAUAUACUAAAUAUAAUCACAUAGUAACUUCAAAUUUGAUAAGGUACAACAUGUUACCAUAUCUCUUUUAAUUUAUUUUAUUUCAUUAUAUAUUUAGGUGUAUUUAAUUUCUUUUAUUUCAUUGUGUAUUUAGGUGUAUUACGUAAAAUAUAUAAUUAAAAAGAAAGAAGAAUAAUGUUAUUUUGAAAUUUAAAGAAGACAUAUAGAAAUAAACAAGCUUUUGCUAAGAUUCCACCAUUGAAAAGGAACAUAGAACAAUCUUGACAAUUAUACUUUGACUUAUUUUAAUUUCUUAUAUUUAUGAGUAUUAUUUUUUCUUAAACAUAGAUAUUGGAUAAAAAAUACAAAUAACAUUUCUUUAUUUCAAAUUUAAAAAUAUUUUAAAUUAAAAUAAAAUAAUUUUUUAAUUAAGAUAUAACAAAAUAUUCUUUAACAAAUUAUUUUAAUUUCAAAAUAAUUAAUUCAGAGGACGAUUGAAAAAAUAUUAAAUAUUAUAAUAAAGCUUCAAUAAUAUUUGUACUUUCUAGCAUAUAGAAUACUUAAUGGAUCCUUUUAUGAAUUUUCUUUUCUAAAGUACAAUUGAUUUUUUAAAUGUUUUUCUAUUUAAUUUUUCUUUCUUGACACAAAAUGUUCAGUGCACAAUUAAUUACUCACCUUAGAUUUCGUUCUUCUCUUUCCAUUUCCACACUCAAAUCAUUUUCACCUUUUUUUUCUUCUUAUUUCACAAAACUUUAAUUAAAAUAUGGAAAAUAAAGUUCAAGAACCCUGCUUAUAUAUUAAUAUUCAAAAAUUUAAAAUAUUAAUAUGCAAAUGAAUAUUUCUUAAUAAUUUUAUUUUGAUGUAAAAAAUAAAAUGUAGUUUAGUCAUUCAUACUUAGAUGGAUAAAGAUGGUUUUAGAAAAAAAAAAAGAAUAUGCAUUUUAUUUGAAAGGUUAUCUAAACUCUGAACUCACUGAUGAAUUAAUAAUAAUAAAUAAUAUGGAAUUCUAUUCCAAUACCAUAUAGGAUGGAGAAAAGUAAGAAGAGGAUUUACACAUUACCCUUUCAAAUGGAGCUCCUCAGGAUUUCAUAAUGCCUUCACUGCAAAUGCAACCCAAAUAUGCUAAAAAAGUUAAUGAAACUAUAUAUGAAGAGUUAAUGAAACUAAAUGGCGUGUGCUGAAAUUUUUGAUCCGAUAACCAUGCCCACAUUCAAAAAGUGAAAGGUUACUUUGCUUUAUAUUCCUUUGGGUGGUGCUACUUUUCAACUUGACAACAAAUUCCCAUUAUUGUGUGGUUAUCAAUUACCAUUUAACUUAUUCUCAUACCACAUUCACUAUAUAAUAGUCCAUCAUAAACCCCAAAAUUUGCACAUUUUCUAUUUGCAAGACAUCCAACAGACAAAGAAAACAUGUGAAACUGUGUAAUAAUGUGAGAACGUAAGAACUUACUUCAUCAUGAAAUCAAGCCAUGCCUGAGGGUUUUUUCUGAGAGCAUUCACCACAGGUGCAUAUUCAUGUGGCUGUAUCCCAUACUCAGCUAGUAUUUCUGCUACCUCUGCCGCUUCUUUUUUUGUCAAAAAACACAUAUUCAUUAUUAAUGUGCAAUCAAAUGGUAACGAAACUAUGUAGUACAAACACACACUGAUACGACACUAGGACGAACAUACGUAUAAUGUUACUCCUUCUAUGGAAAUGAAGGAUAUUCAGCAAUAACUUUUAAAACUCAUUACAUAGAAAUUUGCAUCAAGUUAUCAAAGUCUAUAGGAAUGAAUUUUCAAUUCAUGGAAACACAGAUAACAAAAAGUAAUAGAAAAAUAGAAAAAAAGUUGUCAAAUGAUUCUAUAAAAAAUUAACCUAUCAUGAAAAUCAAGAUGAUAGAAAAUAAAAUAAUGUGGCAUGAACAUCAAAAUCGUAUAAAAGCAUAAUAGAAGAACAGUGGAUACCAGUUUCUGGCACGGCGAUGAUUUCUUCUUGCUCUCUUUUCAAUUCCCUCGAGUAAUUAUCGGCUUCACUUUUUGCUGCCAAAUAACUGCACAAUGAAAAUUAACAUGAAAUAAUAACGGAAUUUAAAUUGAGUUUUGUGAGUGUGAAGAGUGUGGUUGAACGUACCCGCCGAGGCCCAUGGAGAUGGCGCCGGCGGCGACUUCCGCUAUGCCAGCGGUGAGAACGAUGGAGGAGGUGACAUUGGCGCCGGAGAGGCCGGCGGCGAGGGCGAAGGGGACGGUGAGGCCGUCGGAAACGCCGAUGAUGAUGUCGCGGACUAUUUCGCCGGCGGUGAAGUGCUUCUCGGUGUGGUGGUUGAGAAGGUUCGUUCUCUCAGAAUCCACGCUUAUGCCGUGUUCGGUGGCGGCCAUUGGUGCAAGCUUGUGAAUGUGUUUGAGUUCGCCAACGUGCUCUGGGAAUCCAAACAAAGCCUUGCUGCUUUGCACAUAAAUUGAGCCUCUUUUGUGCUCAACUUACUCCUAAAUAGAACAAAAAUAUCUAACCGUUGAUGAUAUCCACGUGGAAAAUUAUCAAUGGAUAUCAAUAUCACAUUAUUUCUACACUAAUAUUUUAAUUAUUUUUAAAUAUUAUAACUAAAUCAAUCAAUAUAAUACCAAAUCUUCUUAAUUCUUUGGAUUAUAUAUAUUUUAUUUUAUUUUAUUUAUAAAGGAAGUUGUGAUAAAUGUUGUGUUUUGUGUGCACAUUAAUAAAAAUCAAAUAACCAAAAAAUAAUAAUCUUGUGAAAGAAAAAAUGGUAGAAUUUAUACUAUUCUACAAAAUUUUAAAAGUGGCUAAUGUGUUUUACUCAACUAUGUAAAUAAUUUUGGACUCUCUUGUUAAGGAAAUAAUGAAAUACAUUAAAUUUUGUUUUAUACUCUUACUUUAAGUUUUUUUGUGUUUCUCCUGACUUAAUUAAAUAUCAGAGAGUCGUCUUUUGCAGGUAGAUUUCAUUCUAUCAUAAUAUACCAACUGAAAACUUGUUUUCUGAAAAACACACGGCUCUCACCGAAUUGCACUUUCCAAUUUUUUUUAAUAGAAAUAAUAAUAAUUAAGUAUUUGUGUUCUUAUAUUUAAUUUUUAAUAAAAAAAUUAUUCUUAUGUACUUCUAAAUUGAUAUAUUUUACCAAUGUCUAUUAACAAUGGGAAGAAGUUUAUACCUAACAAAACUAUUUAACAUGAUUUGUUUGUAAAUUAUAGAAGUAUGUGUAGAAAGAUAUAAAAUUAAUGUUUUAAGAGAAAUUUAAGCAACUUUCAUAAUAUAUUGUAGAUUAUUAGUUGAAUUUAUGGAAAUUAAAAAUAAAUUGUAGGUCACCACACUUCCACUUUUUUUUAAUGAUAUCAAAUCACAACUUUACAAUUUUCACUAAUUUUUAACCAAUAACAAAAGAACAUCUUAGAAGAAGUGUGUUUAAGAAUUUGAUGUUAACUCUCAUUGUUUUUUAAACUUAAAUCCAGCUUUAUUCUUCAACUUUUAAUUUUUAUACAUAUUUAAUUGUAUAUAUAGUUUUUAACUCUCUAAAAUCAAACAAUUUUAAUUCAUUAAAUAGGCAAUGUCAUGAGUGUUAAACUUUUAACAUUUUUCUAGUAAUUAAAUUACUUAUGAAGAUUCAACUAAUUCAAAAUUUAAUAUUUUUACAAUUUUUAUUAUAAUAUUCUUAAAAUAUAUUUUAAUAUUUUGUUUUUCAUGUUUGAAAUAUAAAUGUUUUAAAAAAUCAUUUUAAAUUAUUUUGUUUCUCAUCUUAUGUAAUAAAUUACUAUAAUAAUUACUAAAACAUUUAAUACCUAUACAUUUUUAAUGAGCAAAAACUAAUAAUGAAUUAUAACAAAUAAAAAACGUUUCUGGGCAACAAAAUAGUAAUUAAUAUGAAUUAUAACAAAUAAUGAACGUUUUGUGGUAAUUUGUUUCACUUUCAAAUAAGUUAGUACUUCGCCUGUUAUUUCAUAACGGUAGUUUUUUUAAAUAUAUUAAGAAAAAUGUUUAUUUUUUUAUUUUUAAUGCACUUUUAAGUAACUUGCCUAUUAUAUUAUAUUAUAUGGGUAUUAUAUAUAUAUAGGUAAGCACCAAAAAAUAAAUUUAAGGUAAAAGUGAUAUAAUUAAAAUAAAAUAAAUUAUUAUUAAAUAGAAAAUAUAUAUAAUUAAAAAAAUCAGUUAUUUAAGUUUUAUUUUAAAAUAAUUUUUGUAAAAAAAUUUUCUUUUUUUCCUUGUUCACGAUUUUAAAUUUUAUAUUCACUUGGUAGACAUGUUUUGCAUGUGGUGUUUGGGACUUAAAAGAAUAAUAUAUGUUAGUUCAAGAUCCUAAUGAUGUGUUUUUAAGAAGUUGGACUAUCUUUGUUUUUUUAAGAAGUUGAAGUCUUUUUAUGAAUACUUAUCUUUUUAAACAGGUAAGAUAAACUAGUUUUAUCUGUAAAACUUAAGUUAGAAUAUCUGAAUAUGAAAUGUGAUUCUUCAUAUGAUUAUGAUUGAAUGAUUCAAAAUUCAAGUAUAAAGUUUUAAGAAUCAUUAACUUAUGUUUUUUUUUUUGUGCUAUUUUUUUGAUUUUUUGCAAUGAUUGUGUGUUGCAUGUGAGCAAAUGAUGUUACAAGUUGUAAACCUAAAAAAAAAUCAUGAAAUUUUGUCUUUUUUAUUCUUUUGAUAUUUUAUCUUAAUGAUAUAUAUAUAUAUAUAUAUAUAUAUAUAUAUAUUUAAAAAUCUCUAUAUGAAAGGAUAGUAUUUUAUGAUAUAAUAAUAUGAUAAUGUAAAUGUUAUUUAUAUAAUAAAUAUCAUGAGAUAAUUUAAAUUUUGAUAAGAUAAAUGAAGAUGUUACAAUAUCUCUUUUAAUUUUUUUUUAUUUCAUUAUAUAUUUAGGCGUAUUUAAUUUCUUUUAUUUCAUUGUAUAUUUAGGUGUAUUACGUAAAAUAUAUAAUUAAAAAGAAAAAAUAAUGUUAUUUUGAAAUUUAAAGAAUGACGUAUAGAAAGAAACAAGCUUUUGUUAAAAUUCCACCAUUGAAAAGGAACAUAGAACAACACUCUUGACAAUUAUACUUUGACUUAGAUACUUAUUUUAAUUUAUUAUAUUCAUGAGUAUUAUUUUUUCUUAAACAUAGAUAUUGGAUAAAAAUUAAUAAAAUUUAUUUAUUUCAAAUUUAAAAAUAUUUAAAAUUAAAAUAAAAUAAUAUUUUUAAUUAAGAUAUAAAAAAAUAUUCUUUACAAAUUUUUUUAAUUUCAAAAUAAUUAAUUCAGAGGAUGAUUGAAAAAAUAUUAACAAUCUAUUUAUGCGUUUAUAGUAAACCUUCAAUAAUAUUUGUACUUUCUAGCAUAUAGAAUACUUACUGGAUUUCUUACUCUUUCUUUCUACACCUCUAUCCAUACUAAAUAUAAAAAUACCAUUUUAUUCUUUUUUCUCCACCCCUUGAAUUUGAAAUAAUAAGCCCAUGGAUUAUGUAAUCUGGAUAUAUUCCGGAUUAGUCAAUUUCAUAUUUAGAAAAGACUUUCGGAUUAUGUAAUCCAGAAGCUAAUAAAACAUCUGAAAAAAAGGCUUCCGGAUUACAUAAUCCGGAAGCUAAUCUUAUGUAUAGAAAAGACUUUCGCAUUAUGUAUUCCGGAAGCUAAUCACAAAAGACUUCUGGAUUACAUAAUCCAAACGCUAAUUCUAAAUCUAGAAAAAAGACUUCCGGAUUAUGUAAUCCGGAAUAUUAAAAAAGAUAUUUUUGAAAUACGAAAAAUUUAUGGGGGUGACACAAGAAGGUAUGGAGGUGCAGGAAGAAACAGCCUGGAUUCCUUUUGUGAUUUUUCUUUUCUAAAGUACAAUUGAUAUUUUAAAUGUUUUUCUAUUUAAUUUGUCUUUCUUAAAUGACACAUAAAAUGUUCAGUGCACAAUUAACUACUCACCUUAGAUUUCGUUCUUCUUUUUCCACUUCCACACUAAAAUCAUUUUCACAUUUUUUUUACCUAUUUCACAAAAAUUUAAUUCAAAAAUGGAAAUUAAAGUUCAAGAACCCUACUUAUAUAUUAACAUUCAACAAUUUAAAAUAUUAAUAUUCAAAUUAAUCUUUCUUAAUGUUAUGAAAAAUUUAAAAUGUAGUUUAGUCAUUCUUGGAUGGAAAAAGAUGGUUUUAGAAGAAAAAAAUGCAUUUUAUUUGAAAGGUUAUCUAAACUCUAAACUCAUUGAUGAAUUAAUAAUAAUAAAUAAUAUGGAAUUCUAUUGGAAUAGCAUAUAAAUGUUUUGUUGUUGAAACUGAUAAUUGGGUGCGUUUCUGAUGAAAUUAAUUAAUGCAGUCUAGGGACAAUUAUCGCUCUAGUAUUUCAUUUUUUUAUUUUUAACGUUGAAAUUAUAAUUAUACAAUUCCGUUUUUAGAUAUUAAAAUGAUAGUUUUCAUUUACAGAUUAAAAUAUUACUUGUUUCUUUUAAGAUUUUUUUGGUAUUAUAAUUAUUUGUUAGCUGAAUUGUUUUGCGUUAACAUGUUGUUUUCUUGGGCUAUGAUGUAAGCAAUAUAAAUGUUAUUUUUAAUGUAAGCAAUAAAAAUUAUGAGUAUUCAAAGUCGUGUAAUUACUUAAAAGAAUCAAGUGAUUUUUAAAAGAACUCACACGAUCAGUUUUAAUUUUGACGAUAAAAUAUAUUAGUUAUAUAUAUUUAUUCAAAAUUUCAAUUAUACUAUGCAUUUAUGGUUUUAUGCUUUUAGAGGAAUCAGUAACUUAGAAAAGCUCCCAAAAACUAAUGAAAUCCCAUGAAUGAAGAAGGAGAACAAAUGGAAGUGAAAAAUCAGUAAGAUGAUAAUUAAUAAACACCCUCUCUUAAUAACAUAACAUAGGAGUCUUUAAACUUAUAUUCUUCAAACAAUUAUAAGCUGUCUUCAACUUUACUGUUAAACUACAAUUAUAAAGAAUUAACAAUCUCACACACCAACAACAUUUAUAAGUCAUCACUCACAUGCAACAAGGUGUGCCUCAAUGUGAAAAAACCAAGAUCAAUAAGAAAUGAGGUUCCACUUAACCAAGCUGAGAAUUGUCUGGUUUUCCAGCUCCAUGCACAAACCUAAUACAAUGAUAUGAUAUUCAAUACCAAGAGGUACCUUGUCGUAAAACUGAGAAUAUGAGGUUGCAUAGGAUGGAGAAAAGUAAGAAGAGGAUUUACCAAUUACCCUUUCAAAUGCAGCUCCUCAAGAUUUCAUAAUCCCUUCACUGCAAAUGCAACCCAAAUAUGUUAAAGAAGUUAAUGAAACCGAAAUAUGAAGAGUUUCAAAAUAAAAAUUUAACAUGUUGAAACUUGUAAUUUAGAAGUAUUGACUAUAAGGCAGUUUAGAUCCUGACCAAUGAAAGACUAAUAAGCAGAAGAGGAAGAGACUAGUUGACUGGCUAGCUUUCGGCCUUCCACUUCCUAUCUUCCCUUGUUUCUCUUGAAGACUGUGCAACAUUGCUUCCACUGGAUUCUUCAAUCUCAACAGCACCACCAUAUUCAUCAUCUUUCUUUUUCGUAUAAAGAGGGCAUAUGCCGCAUUCUUUUAUUGUGAUAACUGAUUUCAACUCUCUCACAACUGAUUCGUAAUCUGGCCACCCAAAGUCAUAAUCACACGGACUGAUCUCAAAAGUGAAGCUGCGAGCAUCACAUAGCCUGAGGCUCAUGCCGCUCGCCCUUAGGGACUCCAAGUUAAAUUUCCACACGAAUGUGUGAUCUUUAUCAACACAUCUCUCUUCACCAUUCCAUUUGAAAUAGCUGUUUAACACAUCAUUAUUUGGAAUGAUCUGUGUGCCAUCAUCAUCAGAUUCAAAUGUUAGGCUGUAACUAAAAGAACCAUAUCUACCAUUCAUAGCAUACGUAUCUAACACUCCAAAAACCACACUCAAAGCGAAACCAGUGAGCCUAUCAUCGCUGCAGAAACUUAAAUCUUCAUUUAUAGUCACUGAAUGUCCCUUCCCACGAAAAUUGAACCAACCAGGAACUGCACUCCCUGGAAAACAGAAGAACACACACCUAUAUGCAUCGUCGGUCAUCCUAAGCCUUGCAUCCUCCUCAAUGUUAGCACGACCACCUGAAUCCAGUUGUUGAGCAUUGGUGAAAUGAAAUUUAAAUACACCCUCUUCGGAAUUUGAGAGGUUUCGAACAAGAGAAUUUGGCAUCACUCUUCUAAUGGAUGGGCAAUCCAAUGCCACGAGUUGUUUCAGAAAUGGUGGAAUCUGUGGGAUGCAUUCAAGCUUUUUGCAGUCGCUUAAAUCAAGCGAUUUCAAACUUGAAAGAUGAGCAAUGCUCCCAGGAAGGUUCACGAUUCCGCUAUUACGCAGUGAAAGUUUCAUUAAUGACGUCAAACGACCAAUGUGUCUAGGGAUUUCUGUUAAUUUGGGGCACCCCGAACAAUCAAGUUUAGAGAGAAGCUUCAGAUUAACAAUGCAGUUUGGAAGUGAGUCGAGAUCAGUGCAUUUGUGGAGCUCCAGGGAUCGAAGAUUAACCAAAUUGCCAAAUGAGGAAGGCAAUUCUUUAACAGCCGUAGAUGUUAAGUUAAUGUGAGCAAAAGUAUGAGCCGGCUCCGUGAUCUCUGGGAAGGACCUCAGCCUUGAGCAACCACCUAAAUCAAACUUCCUCAAUUUCAAAUUGAAAAUGGUGCUUGGAAAAGUUUGAAGUGAAUUACAGUGGGUAAGGUCUAACUUGCAUAGUCUGGUGAGGGUUCCAAUGGAAGAUGGAAUAAUCUGAAGAUUGAAGCAACUGCGCAAACUCAGUUGUUGAAGCCCUACCAAACGGCACAAGGAUGAAGGUAGUGCCUGUAUGGCUGUGUCGUCUAAGAUGAGCACCGCUAGAUCUUCCAACGUGUCCUGAAUCUGGGGUAAAUAUUCCAAUUUUGAGCAACCACGGAGAGAAAGUUGCUUUAGGAAUUUCAUAUCAGAAAGGUCAAACGGAAAGAUUGUAAGGGAAGAACAGUCAGAGAGAUCUAAGUAACAGAGGUUCUUGAGACUUUGAAAGUUCAAGGGCACACCUCCUCUGAGAUUUGCCGACACUUCAAAUUGUAAGUAUAGAGUAUUAUUAGCCACUUCUUCAUUAUAUCUGUCAAAAGUAAUUGAGAAAAUUUCACUGGAACUUCGGAAAAUAUGAACACCGGAUGCACAUUGCGCUUCAACUAUCAUAUUUCCACGUUUAUGCCGCAGUUUCAUAUGAGGGAAUCUGGGUUCACUGGUUGAAAACAUAUUAAGCUUCCGACAACAGGAAAGAAUAAUCAAUCCUGGUAAUGUGGAUAAAAUGUUGUUGGGAAUAUUUACACUAUUCAGAUCAUAACAAUGAUCUAAACAUAAACAACUGAGCUUGCUGAGGAAUAUCGAAGAGUGAACUUCAAUCAACUUUGAACAAUAACUCAGCUUUAUUUCUUCAAUAUUUGGUGACGUAGAAAGGUCUGGUAUUCUAGUAAGGUUCGAAGAAUGACUCAGGUUGAGCCUUUUCAACUUGGGUAAAUUCUGCCACAAAAUGUAAAUGAAUCAGGUAACACAAAAACUAAAUUAAAGUUUUAGGCAAUUUUAUCUAUUUUUCUUCGGUAAACAAUAGAUGACAAUGUCGAAAUACUUUAUAUUAUGCAUGUAUCAACUGACAAAAUAAAACGAUGUUUUCUGAGAGUUAAAAUUAAACCUUAUUUAAAAUAAGUCCAUCUUUCCAUAUUUUAUAAUUUGUUGUAUAUUAUAUUGAAGUUUAUGUUAUAAUAAAAAAAAUGACUUAAUUAAUCAAAUAAUGUGGAGAAGGCACAAAGGAAUUGCAAAUGAAAACUUGUAUAUGUAUAAUACAGAAAACAUGCUUGUAUAAUUUAUUUUUAUCUUUGAAAGUUUAGAACACAAAGGAACAUAGAUAGCUUGAAAAACCUGAUCUCCUUCCCAGAGUUGUUCAAGAUGGUUGCGUGGCAUUUCGAGAGUCACUAGAUUUUGUGGGCAAAACUUUGGAGGCCAAAAUCUUUGAGGGAAAUCGUCCCAAUAUAGAAUCUUUAGAGUGUCCGGCAGACCUACAAGAGAUGAUUCAGGAGACACUUUUGAUUCCAAUCCCAACGUGUAGAGCCUAAGCAUCCUAAGAUUGUCCAUCUUUUCGAAACUUUGUGCAUGUACUACAACUUCUUUUACUUUCCACGUACCCCAGGUAUUUAGUAAUAUACACUGUAUUGCAUCUGACCCCUGAAAGUAAAUCAAUGUAAUUAGAAAAAAGCAUGAAAUGUUGCAUUUCAGAAUGCUUAAUGACAGAUCAGUAGUUUGCUAUUUUUCACAAAGUAACAACAGAAUAUACCUUGUUCUUUCUUAAGACCUCACAAAUUUCCUCAUCAUUAAACAAUCGGCUGCGUUUUCCAGGAUGCUGAGGACACUCUUUAUGAACAAUUUCUUUACCCAUUUCUUGUAUUAGAUCGUGCAUCACAAUUCUACCAUCAAUGACAGAUAUUAGGCCCCUAUCUUUGAGAAUAUCCAUUCCAAUCUUAGAAGAGAAACCAAAGUCAUCAAGUCUUUCUGCUACCUCAAUCUCCUGGCGUCCUCUAUAAAAGCAAGCUAUGUCAAGAAAUAUAUUCUUCUCCUCCUCCUCCAGCCAAUCAUAACUUAAUUUUAAUACAUUGAAAAUACCAAGAUGUUGGCCCUUUUUCAACUUUUGCAACUGACUCUCCCAUGCUUCUUUUGUUCUGCCAUAAAGCAAUGAUCCCAAAAUCUGGAGAGCUAACGGAAUCCCUUUUGCAUAUGUCAACACCUUUUUUGACAGUUCCCUGUAACCAAUUUCUUCUGAAGAUUUUUGUUUAAAAGCAUGUAAACUAAAAAGCUUCUGAGAAUCAUUAAAAUUCAACUCCUUAACUUCGUAGAUAUCAUCAGCUCCAGCAUUCCUAAGCACUUGUCUGUCUCUACUGGUGAUAAUGAUUCUACUGCCCUGCCCAAAACUAUCACUCCCUCUUAUUAAUUUUUGAAGUUGAGCUGAAUCGGUAACAUCAUCAAGAAUGAGGAGAACCUUUGUCCGUUUGAGCUCAGACAGAUAUUUUGUUCUGAUACUGUCUAUUCCAUCUCUUUGUAUUUUUUCUUGAACGUCUAAAACAAGGCUCCUGGAAUCAAACUGCAAUUCCAAUUUGUGAUAUAUUUGAUCACAAAUUGUACUUUUUCCUAUUCCUCCCAUGCCACAAAUGCCUAUGAUCCGAACAUCCGGUAAGUCAAGAUGCAACAAGGACUGAAUUCCUUCAAUAUUUUUUUCAAUGCCGAUGAUUCCUUGAUCAUAACUGGUGGAAUAACGAUUCAAUUUUCUCAAAAUAUCUCCCACAAUUCCUUCAACAAGUGUGUGUUCUGACCUGGCAGAUGAUUUAGAAAAUAAAGUAUAAGUAUUCAAACACAAAAGCUAAAGUAAACUAAAGAAAAAUUCUACAGUAACCGUUUGUGACUUCUGAUAAUAGGGAGCAGAUUUGUAGGUACAAAGUUAAGCUAUAAGAUGUGAUAUGGUUCAGAUCCAUGACCGACUAAGAGAAAUGAAAAAAGAAACACUUGAUUUAUGGUGAGAUGAACACAAUUUUAGUAAAUGAAAAGAGAUCCUGAUUAUCUAAUAAAUAUAAUGACCUGGUGACUUUUGAAUCCCAGCCUGAAAGUCCAGCAGCUUCGGUGAGAGCAUCCUUCCAUCCUUGCACUUUGUCCAUGUCGUGCUUAAACUGCUGCUCAUGCUUUUCGAAUGCUUCUUUGUAUCUUUGUUCCUGCUUCCUAAUAGUUGAUGGAUCCACCUUGUAGAAAACAGGUAUGACAUCCCUUCCAUAUCUCUUCUUGCAAUCAAGUAUCUUAGUGAGUUCAUUCAAGCACCAAGUGGAAGAUGCAUAGUUUUGGGAGAAAACGACGAUAUAAAUCUUCGAUUCUUCUAUUGCAGAGAGCAGUGCAGAUGAAAUUUCUUCGCCCCGGGGUAGUGUCUCAUCAAUAUAUGCUUCUAUGUUCUUCCUUUGCAGUGCUGGAUGAAGGUGGCUAAUGAAGUUGUCACGUGUGUCUUCCCCUCUGAAGCUGAGAAACACAUCAUGCUUUGUUAGAGAAGCAGACAUGGCCAAUGAUGAAGAACUUGCUGACAUUGGAAUCAAUUUUCUCUCCUUUCUCUGCAACUCUCAGUGCCUUUGU
RNAcentral lists this long non-coding RNA (75156 nucleotides) under Phaseolus vulgaris (common bean). RNAcentral describes it as "long non-coding RNA (PVUL_LNC004767)". The stretch from base 56913 to 57051 matches the Rfam family "Small nucleolar RNA Z247". The record is from RNAcentral. Lineage: Eukaryota; Viridiplantae; Streptophyta; Magnoliopsida; Fabales; Fabaceae.